GCGCCGAUCGAUGUGGAAUCUUUUCUUUUUUAGCAACUUGGAAUCUUUUUUCACACAAUGCAUAAAGCAUGAACUACGAGUCCACCCGCGCUGGCGUUGGAUGUUUAUGGAACAUUAUCCUGUGCACUUGCAAAUAAAAUAAUGAAGACGUUUUAGGGAUACCAAGAACAAACAAGACCGAGCUGGUCCACCGUCGCGGGCAGGCCAAUGGUAACCAGGGCUAGAUGCUCGCGCCGUGAUGGACAGCUAGGGUGUGGUGACAGCCUGUCGGAAAAAAGUGUUAAUUAGACUCCUUUUUUAAGUGCUUACUUCUGUGUCAUCAGGGGCGAAGCGUUAUUGUACUGGUGUUGACACCUGUGGCCUGCCGUAAUCCUUUUGUAAGCAAAGUGCCUUAUUAAAUUAUAAAAAAAAAGACACCAGUCCAUCAAAGAUGACACCAGUAGUUCUAACUCCGCCCCUUGGUCAAAUUAUAAAUUAUAUUUCAUCAGUCUCAUAUUAAGUGACUCAAAUUUGUCUAAAUAUGGAUGUAUCUAUACCUUAAAAUCGUCUAGAUACAUAUAAUAGAAAGUCACUUAAUAUGUGACGGUGGGAGUAAAUAUUAAGAAGUUUGUAUUUUCUGCGGAAAUUCUUAAUUUGAGACAGAAGUAAUAUUGAAGUUCUCCAUGCUCUUUGAUAUGCCAUUUUCUAGGCUCUGUAUUAAUUGAUGCACAUAGCCAUAUGAUAUACAAAAUCGACUCAAAACAUGUCAAUUUGUAUUUGCAUAGCUAGGUUGACUUUUAGAGAUAAGCCACGCCAGAGGAAGAGGAGCCUCACUCCCCGGAUUUCGUCGUGUGAUCCGACGGAGGCCACUGAGGUGGAUGGCCGCCCGGGGGAUAGGCAUAUCCCGGUAGCUCUGCCGCUCUCCUAUUGCUCCCUGUGUGCAUGGUCGUCGACAUUUCUAUCUCGUUGCGCUCUCUUAUGCUCCUUGCACGAAUGGUUGUUGACCUUUCUUCUCAUCGUCUCAUUUAACCGCCCGAAAUUUCAAAAUUUCCCCGAAUCCGUAAGUCUCUUUUGCAAGAUGUUUGGGUGGAGUUGCGAAGGACUUCCAGGUGACAAGCAAGCUAGUCGAUCGACUUUGCCUGCUCUCAGGUUCUUUGAGAGCUCUUGUUUUGUGGUGUAUUUCCACCUCUCGGGCGCUAGCAGCACGAACUUGCAUGAAUUCAUACGAUAGAAAAGGAAGAAGAUGAUAGCUGGUCUUCUCCUCGAGCAUCUGGAGGGGGUUUGGACCCUCACCAUUCAUUUGCUCAGAUGGUUUGAGUUCCCCCUUCAGCACAACUUACCGUGGCAAAUGUUCCCACUGUUUAUAAGUCUGAUUUUGAUCGGUUGGGAGAACAACCUCUUUCUCCAUGGUCAAAGCAGAAAGAAAUUGAUUUGGCGGAGGUUGGUUAUUCAGAGGAGUCCAUUCAAAAGAACAAAGAGCGCCGAAGAUUCUUCCCGGAGCGUGGAGCUUUUGGUUUUUUAUUGUUGGUUUUCUCUACGUUGAAGGUCGGAGAUUAAGGUAAUUCAAAAUUUACAGGCGUCAUCCCCGCGUUAGUUACAAUCUGCUAGGGCACAUUCAGUUUCGUCUUCAAUGGCUUUUACUCCGGCUUGGUUUAGUAAUUUGCAUGAUUGCAUUUUUUCUAAAAUGAAAGACAUGCAUGGCCCCUCAAACAACUUUCUGAAAUUUUCAACAAUUGAAAUGAUUUUAGACGAAAGAUAAAUAACUCUCUGCUGCGAAUAUUACUUAACUUAUAAAUGCUACCCCCUCCGUCUUUUUAUAGGAUUUUCUAGUUUUGACCCAAGUUUCAGCUUCAAUGAAGGAGUAUGUUAAUUUGGUAUUCUAGAUGUUAAGUAUAUCUUUUUAUAAAUUUGAUUAAAAUUUCUCACCUGAGAGCAUCUUAUGAAAAGGAACAGAGCGAGUAUUUUCUUUGUACCAUGAGGCAAUUUUCCCAUAUUGUGAAAUAACCACUCAAUUUAGUGUCAGUUAGGGUAAAUUUUCUUGUAUCUUGGUUCUGAUCAAUCACGGGGAUAAGAAGCCCACCGGAACAGGAUCCAGGCAUGUCACUACUUUUAUUUUGCUCCCCUCGGACGUAUUAAAAUGGGGUCCUUAUCACGUUAUUUUAAGCAUUUUGUUGACAUGACACAUAACUAGUGAGAAAACUAUGUCUUAUGCUAGCAACUUCUCUUCUCGUAACUCACCAACAGAAAGGUAUCAGCUCUUUCUCGUGAAAUUAUUAAAUAAAUGGAGUAUUUUAUAUACCGCGUUAACAGACACUGCAUUAUGAGCUAAGGGACAGCGUUGAAGGAAAAUGCGUUGAAACUUGAAACAGGCCUCAUCCACCCUCCAUCCUAAUCGGAUGGCCAGUAGCCCGUGGGAGUCGGACGUGUCGGCCACAGCGAGCGAGCGCAGCAGGGGAAGCGGGAAAAAAAAAAGCUUCGGUACUCUUCCGCGAAAUUGUGCGGGCUCUUGCACGGCUCUCCCGCGGUGGGGAGCGAGCUCCGGCGCCGGCAGGCCCGUCCACGCCGCGCCGCCGCUGCGAUAAGUACCUACGCCCCGCGCCGCCACCCGGACAGGCUCUUCCGCUCAGCGUCGCCGCCCUGACAGGCUCCUCCGCCAGCCGCGUCGCUCCGCUCUGACGGCUCCCUGCGACCCCUCCUCUCGACACAGCGUCCUCCGCCAGCCGUCGAGGCAUAGCUUCGGCAGCCCACCGGACACGCACGUGUUGGACCAGGAGGCCCAUGUGGUGCGGGAAUUGGGAUCAGGCCGCCGGACCAAGCGGCCCACGCCUCCUCUUCUUCCUAGCCACGCGUCACUGUCUAGCCCUGGUGUGCUCGUCGACGAAGGCGGCGUUCUCUCCACUGCUCCUCCCAGCAGAAGUAGGUAUCUCUGCUAACUACGGUAGACCUCGUCAACGUCAACGGCCUCAUAGCUAUUGCUUUCCAUAGAGUCUCCUUUUCUUGUUGGACGUAUUUCAUUCUCAUAUUGGUGUUUUGGGUGUCGGGGGAGACGAAUUGAGUGUGAUUUAUUUUGUUUACUUGUGAUGCAUAUUUUGAUUGUGCUUAUGCAAGUGCCAAAAGAAUUAUUCUAGGCUACUUCCUAACAUACUGUGGAAGGUAAUGAAUUGAAUUAUCCAAAGAUCUGUAAUACGAGUACAAAUUGCUCAUUGCAUACCUCUAUGGAUGGCUAGAUGAAAUUUUUGUACUCCCUCUGGCCAGACUUACUCGUCGCAGAUCUGUAGUGCUUUGUACUAAAUCUGUGACAAGUAAUUCCGGUCGGAGGGAAUAACACUCUUGCUUUGCAGAUGAAUGUACUGAUUAUCUUGCUUUGCAGAUGAAUGUACUGAUUAUCUUACUUUGCAGGGAAAUUAAGAGAAACUAAUGGAGGUUGGUGCAGCUGUAGUCGGUGCCCUACUGAAGAGCACCCUGCCUAAACUCUUGGCGGCGAUAGGAGAAAAAAGGAAGCAGCUGAAAGGCCUUGAGGUUGAUGUUGGAUCCAUCAACUGUGAGCUCGAGUUGAUCCAAAGCAUCAUUGGUUGCUCGAGUGGCAUUGUUGUUAGUGAUCGUUGGAUUGCGCAACUCCGACGCUUGGCAGAUGACAUCAAGGACUGCAUAGACCGCUUCCACGUUGGGAAGACGGCAAGGACCCGUUUUGCUGGCCAGAUUGCUGACCUCAAGAAGAGAUCGAAGGAUACACGGAAGCAGUUAGAAAGCCAUAUCCGGAUGGCUAAAUCUGGCGGUGCAUCGACCUCCACAGAACAAACUCCUCUGACUGCUGAUCGUCCCGUGGGCAUGAAGGAUGCGGAGCAGGAGCUUCUCGGUCUUUUGCAGAGCGAACCGGAGGGGAAGCUGAAGGUGAUCUCCAUCAUUGACUUCGGUGGCCAUGGUAAGACUCUUCUGGCCAAGCAUGUUUACCAUGACAGGGAUGUCCGCAGUCAGUUCCCUCAGCGUGCUUGGGUCCUUGCUGCCGGCAAGGAAGCGCCAGUGGUUCUCAAGGAGAUACACCAGAAAGUGCUUCUUUUAAAUGAGCAAGCCGAUGUACAUGCUGGUAGCUCCAGCAUAGCCGUCCCAGUCGCACAAGUUGAGAAGGGCAAGGACAUCCAGAAGGAGGUUCAGGUUCAGGAGAAUCUUCUAUGCACGUAUGUCAAGAAUGCUGCUAAUACCUCUACCUCCAGCGACGACGACGAGCGUGUUGACUCUGAAGGCAUACAUGCUGCGACUGAGAGUACCUCCAACAAUAAUAUGGAUGAGAAGGGCAAAGGCGUGCAGAUUAUUGUGGAGGAGAUACAUGAGAAUGGUGUUCAUGAUGCUGAACUUGGUGCGAGUACCUCCAAUGCCGACCAGCAGGCGGUAGUGCUUCAGAAGACCAGAAGGUGAUUGCAGACAUUCCACAGCACUGGUUAAAUUUUAUCCAUUCAUCGAAAAUGUGUUUUCUUGUUUUCUGGAAAGGUUUUCAAAGUGCAACUUGAUAAACUCCUGGCAAUUAGAUGCUAAGCGUGCACUUGAACUGUGAUGCCGGCUAUGGUUAUGAGUCAUAAGACAAUGGAUAUGUACUAACUCUUUUUCUUCUUAUUUCUAUCUCAGGUAUUUGAUUGUAAUUGAUGACGUAGAGAUGGAAGAGCUGCACGACAUAAUAUCUGCCUUCCCUUGGGCUGAUGGAGUGGGUGGCAGAAUUAUCAUGAUGACGACCAUUCAGUCGGAAGCCACACGCUGCAGAUGUGGUAAUGGUUUACCACUUGCUCUGGAUAGCACAUCCCAGUUUUUCAUUAGAGAGCUCACAGAGACUGGAUUUGAAGAAGCCUGCCUCAAACUUUGUGAUGAUGCAUUAGAGAGGAUGCAACGCUGCAACUUUCAGAUUCUAUCUAGCCUUGCUCUCCAUGACUUGUUGCUUUAUUUCUGCCUGUUUCCGCGUGAUCAUCCUGUCAGGAGGAAUCCUCUAAUAAGGCGAUGGCUAGCUGAAGGACUUGUACAACCAGAAAAUGUGGCAGUCCAGAAUUUGGAGACCCUCAUCAACCGCAAUAUCAUUCAUCCCAUUCAAGUAGGCCAAAAUGGGAAGGUGAGCAGGUGCCAGCCUCCGGGCAUGAUGCUUGACCACAUCUCCGACAAAUCCAUGUCAGAGAAUUUCAUCACCUUAUUCUGUGGUGAGACCAGUGAACCGGAGCAUGUCCGCCGGCUUUCUCUCCAUCCUGACAGUGCUACAAACGGUCGCUUGAACUUGCCCAAGGAUUUAUCUCGUCUUCAUACUCUGGCGGUAUUCCCUACUGCAGAUGUUGCCAAUUAUGAAGAUAAUUUGAAUUAUUCCAAGUAUGACCUACUGCGAGUGUUGGAUCUGAAAGAAUGUUCCCAUCUGAAAGAAAAACAUCUGAAGAAAAUAUGUGACCUCGUACUGCUGAAAUAUCUGAGCCUCGGGGACACUAUUGGUCAGGUUCCAAGGAAAAUAUCCAGGCUCCAACUGUUAGAGACACUCGACAUGAGGAGAGCAGAAACAGUGACAGUGCCCGUACAAGUCAUCCUGCUGCCCUCCUUAAUAAACCUCCUUGGAAAGUUUCAACUUGUUGAAGAUGAUCACAAAAGCAAGAUCCAUGAACUCGAGAAGUUCUUGUCAGAAGACAGUAAACUGGAGAGGCUUUCAGGAUUUGUCACUAGCAAUACCGAAGGAUUUCCACAGUUGAUGUGUCAUAUGGGACGGUUGAGGAAGGUGAAAAUAUGGAGUGACUCCACUGCAGCUGAAACAAACUUGACUCAUCUUUCAGAAGCCAUCCAGAAAUUCAUUCGUAAGGGCCUCGAUAUGACCAGAACUGAUCGGUCCCUUUCUAUUGAUUUCCAUGCAUGCUCAGCAAAGUGUUCAAAACCAUUAAUGGAGUCUUUGCAAGCUGCAGGCCGUCUUACCUCGCUCAAAUUGCAUGGCAAGCUGACACGAUUCCCUCAGUUUGAUGCAAAGCUAGUUGAGGAGCUUUGCCUUGCAUGGACCAAUCUUAGUGGGGAUGCUAUUCUAGAUGGCUUGAGUGUGUUGAAACUGAAACUGAAAUAUCUGAAGCUGGUUGAGGAUGACCUUGGUCCCCUCGACAUACGGCCUCACUUCAAACGGCUGGAGCGGAUAUGUCUCGUGGGCGUGCAAAGCCUGCACGGCAUAACAAUCCGCGCAGGAGCUCUGCCUCGUCUUACCUCACUCCAUAUACUCAGUGAAGCUCUAGGUCUUCUUCCUGGCAUCGACAUCACACAGCUCGGAGGACUAGAGGAAGUUGCACUCCAUUCUGGAGUCGAUCAAGGAAUAAAGGAUGGAUGGCAGAAAGCUGCAAGGAACCAUCAUAAAAGGCCCAACCUUCUGUUCAUUGAUCAUCCCAACUCCAACAGAGAUCGAGAUCCUCAGCUUCUCGGAACAAACGUGGCAACUGCAAAAAAACUUCAUUUGCAAAACUUCUUUCCUCCAUGAAACACAAGGUUUUUUGUGGUUAUCGUGAUUCUUGAAGCAGUUGAACUGCAGUAAGUUUUGUAUAUAUCCUCAGGUUCUGCCUUUUCAUCUUCACUCGUAGCUUCUGUUCAAGCGUAUUACAUCGCUGGUGCCAUUUAAGGUAAUCGAGACACAAUGACUUCAAGGCCUCUUUGUUUGACCGCAGUGUAAAACUUGGCAAUCAAUAAUGGAGGCACGUUCCAGUUUUCUGCAAGAAUCGACGCUACCAAGAUGCUUCGUUUUCUCCCUUUCCGGUCUAUGUACUGUUUUCUAUAAUCUAUAGCAAGGGGCUGUUUAGUCGCUACUGUUUUCUUUUCAUGGAGUAACAAGAAUAGUUUACCAUGCUACCAGUAGUAGUGCUCCAGUACUAGCUGAUAGAAUUGGAUUGAGGUUUGGGAUUGACCACCCAAAGGUGGCCUCCUGUUAUCUCAUACAUAUAUGGGGCUCAAUACAAGAUAUACAUGGGAGGUAAUCAAUCAUGAUCCUAACCAUAAAGGCCGGUUAACAAUAAUACCAGCGCUAUUAAAGGAGAGGAUAUGUCAAGAUCCUAACAUCCCCCGCAGUCGUAACGGGAGAUUCUCGGACGCUGAGACUGGAUCGGAAGUCCAAAAACAACGGCGAUGGUAGGCCUUUGGUGAAGAUGUCCGCGAACUGUCGAGAUGAUGGCACAUGAAGAGCUCGAAUGUGCCCCAGCGCAACACGAUCACGAACGAAGUGAAGAUCGAUCUCGAUAUGUUUGGUGCGUUGGUGCUGGACAGGGUUCGUGGACAUGUAGAUGGCGCUCACGUUGUCGCAGAAGACAACCGUGGCACUGGGGAGCGGGCGAUGAAGCUCGUGGAGAAGUUGGCGGAGCCAACUGGCUUCAGCGAUGGCGUUGGCGACGGCGCGAUACUCGGCUUCGGCACUUGAGCGCGAGACAGUGUGCUGGCGCUUCGAGGACCAAGAGAUGAGGUUGUCGCCGAGGAAGACGCAGUAGCCGGACGUGGAGCGACGAGUGUCCGGGCAACCUGCCCAGUCCGCGUCGGUGUAGGCAACGAGACGGUCGGUGGGCGAGGGAGUGAGCUGAAGACCGUGACGCAAGGUGCCCUUGACGUAUCGAAGAACCCGCUUGACCAGGGACAAGUGCUGCUCUCGAGGGUCGUGCAUGUGCAAGCAGAUUUGCUGCACAGCGUAGGCGAUGUCGGGGCGAGUGAACGUCAGGUACUAGAGAGCACCGGCGAGGCUCUGAUAUUCCGAGGGAUCGACAACCGGAGCACCAGCCGCGGCGGCGAGCUUGGGUGAGGUGUCCACGGGUGUCGAGGCCGGGUGGCAGGAGCUCAUGCCAGCACGCUCGAGGAUCUCAAGAGCGUACUGAGUCUGAGACAAGAACAUCCCUUGGGAGUCACGUCGAAUGGCGAGGCCGAGGAAGUGAUGAAGCUCGCCCAGGUCGAUCAUGGCAAACUCGGCGCUGAGAGCGGUGAUGACGCGCUCAAGCAGUGUCGGAGUAGAGGCCGUGAGGAUGAUGUCGUCGACGUACAGCAAGAGAUAAGCUGUACCGAGAGUACCAUGGAGGAUGAAGAGCGACGUGUCGGACUUGGAGCAGGUGAAGCCGAAGGUGGUGACGAAGGUUGCAAAGCGAUGGUACCAAGCACGGGGUGCUUGCUUCAGACCGUAGAGAGCACGGUUGAGGCGACACACGUGGUCGGGGCGCGUGGCCUCGACGAAGCCGGUAGGCUGGUGACAGAACACCACCUCGGAGAGUUUCCCAUGGAGAAAGGCGUUCUUGACGUCAAGUUGCCGAAUCUUCCAGUUGAGGGAGAGGGCGAUGGAGAGGAUCGUACGAAUGGUGGCCGGUUUGACAACCAGACUGAAGGUCUCGUCGAAGUCCACGCCGUGCUCCUGAGAGAAGCCACGCAGCACCUAGCGUGCUUUGUAGCGGCCGAGGGUACCGUCAGGUUUGAAUUUGUGACGGAAGACCCAUUUGCCGGAGACGACGUUGGCGUUUGAGGGAGGACGAAUGAGAUCCCAUGUGUCGUUGGCGAGGAGGACACCGUACUCGUCGGUCAUAGCAGCGAGCCAGUUCGGGUCUUUGAGAGCACCACGAACGGACUUGGGGACCGGCGAGGGAGAGGCGACGGUGUUGACGUUGAGGUUGAGACGCUCCCGGGGGCCAAUGUGCUUGCCCGCUUGCCGACGUGUCACCAUCGGGUGUUGCAGGACUGGAGCAGCCGGUGGCGCAGGCGAUGGAGAGCGCGGAGUCGAGGACGCGGACGAGGUCGACGGGUCGGAGGCGCCAGCGAUCGCACCAGAGGACGGCUCGGCGAGGGAGCCGCGUCCGCUCGAGAACGCCUCAUCGAGAGAAGCCCAGCCUGGCGUGGAGGCAGGUAGCCUAGCAGAGGCGGGUGGCCCAGCAGCGUGCUGGACCGUGGAGGCGCCUGGCGUGGCCGGCGUGGAGGAGGCCGGCGAGGACCACGGAGGCCCAGUAUUCCGGCACAGUCCAGCGUGCAUGGGCGGCACGGGGACCGAGGCGGGUACGUCGAUCGGCGACACGGGGGCGGUGGCCUGCUGCACGUUAGACAGAGAGAACGAAGGUGCAAAAGGAAAACGAGUUUCGUCAAAGAUCACGUGGCGAGAGAUAAUUAUUCGACGUGACUCGAGAUCCAUGCAACGAUAGCCGCGGUGGUUGGAGGCUUAACCGAGAAAAACGCAUGCAACAGAACGAUGAGAGAGUUUAUGUGGCAUGGUGGCGGCAAUGUUGGGGUAGCAGAGACAUCCAAAGGUGCGUAAGAGAGAGUAGUUAGGAGGAGUGGAGAAGAGACCAACGAAAGGACACGAAGAUGUAGUGGCUUUUGUCGGCAGUCUAUUGAGGAGGUAUGUGGAUGUAUGGAGAGCUUCUACCCAAAAGUUGGAAGGCAUGUGUGCUUGAAACAACAGAGUGCGAACAAUGUCGUUAACUGUACGAAUAAUACGUUCAGCUUUACCGUUUUGGGGAGAGGUGUAGGGGCAUGAGAAACGGAGGAGAAUCCCGUGUGUAGCACAUAGGUCCUGAAGGGCACGGUUGUCGAAUUCGCGUCCAUUGUCGCACUGAAUAGCUUGAAGAGACAGAGAGAAUUGAGUGGCGACAUAAGAGCGAAAGUUAGACAAUAACGAGAAAACAUCAGAUUUACGACGAAGGGGAUACGUCCAUAAAAAAUGAGUGUAAUCAUCAAGAAUGACAAGAAAGUAUUUGAACCCAGAAACACUCUCAACAGGUGAGGUCCAUAAAUCACAAUGAAUUAAUUCAAAAGGACGACGAGUACCGGUGGUAGACGCUGAAAACGGCAGUCGUACAUGACGACCAAGCUGACAAGCAUGACAUAAACUAGGGUCCUCGGACACUUUAUUGAAGGGAGCAGCGGAGGAUGACGCGAGGCGGCGAAAGGCGUCGUAUCCAGGAUGACCAAGACGCCGGUGCCAAAGAUUGGAGUCGUCGGUGGAAGCUGUGAGUGCGUGCAGAGGAACAGUAAGAGGAUAGAGAUCACCCGUACUACUGCACCUGAGAAUCACGACCCCUGUCCUGAGAUGCUUCACAGAGAAACCCCAUGGGUCAAAUUCAACUGAACAAUAAUUAUCAGUAGUAAAUUGACGAACAGAGAUUAGAUUUUUGAUAAUGCGAGGAGUAACAUGCGAGGAGUAACAAGAACAUCACGAAGAGUAAGACGACGUCCAGGAUGGGAAGAUGAGAGAAAAACAUGGCCGGAGUGGGUGACGGGAAUAGAAGAACCGUCACCGACGACGACAUGAUGAUGAGGAGGAUUAUUCGAGAGGGAAGUGAGAUUACCGGCGUCCAAAGACAUAUGAGCGGAGGCUCCGGUGUCCAUGGUCCAUUCGGUGGGAGUCUGGAGACUCAUGGUGUUGAAGUAGUUUGCGAGGGCGGAGGGGUCCCAAGUCGGGGCCGAGGCAGCGCCAUACGGAGGGUAGGCGGCGUAGGAGGCCGUCGCGUGCGCCGGCGGCAUGGGCAUCGCCAUGUAGCCGUGUGCGGGAGGACGGGGCGCUGGCAUGUAGGGGCGGGGCGCCGGGGCGGUGUAGGGGCGAGGCCCAAGGAGCCCGGCGUGGUUGCCGUAGCCCGGACCGGCCAUCGGGUACAUGUGGAUGGCGCCGGUCCAGGGAUUCUGCGGGCUGGGGAAGGGCGCGGCAGCGGUGGUCUUCUUCUUCCCCUUGUUACGACCAGGGGCGGCAGGAGCGCCGGAGACCGGAGGGGCGCCGUAGCCAACAGGUGGGGACGCGAGAGGACCACGCGGACCGCCAGCGGGAGGGGCAGAGUAGAAAGCCGUAGGCGGCGUAGGGGCAGACGAACGCGCGUUGGAGGGCUUUAGUUCCUGGAGGAGCAGCAUGUUGCGGAACUCGAGGAAGGAGGGGAAGGAUUUGAGAAGCGGCACCGGAUUGCCCACGUCCUCGUACUUCUCGUCGAGGCCCUUGAUGAUGUUCCACACCAGGGCGUCGUCGGUGACCGGGGCGCCGACGUUAGCGAGCGCAUCAGCGACUAUCUUCUGCUCAAGGCAGUAGGCAGUGAUGGUCUUGUCCCCUUGCACGAUGUUGCGGAACUUCUGGCUGAGGUAGCCCGCCCGCGCCCGCUGAUUGUCGCGGAAGAGGGCGGUGAUGCGGGUCAGCACGUCUGCGGCGGUGGUGGUGGCCGCCAUCACCAUGUCGGUGAUCUCGGGGCUGAUGGAGCCAUAGAGCCAACGGAGGACAGUGGAGUCCAUCCGCUGCCACUCGUCGGCGGCGGCGGGAGGAGGGACCGCGUCGAGGUGAUCCGUGAGCCCCUAUUGCGUGACGGCGAUGAGGAGGAAGUUGUGCCACUUGGAGUAGUUGGAGGCCUUGAGGUCGAGGGUGACGGGGAUCAAGGACUUGAUGCUCUGGAUCGCGGUGGCCUGCGCCCAUAGGGCAGCGAGGGGAUUGGCAGGGGCGGCCAUGGAGGAGGAGGAAGGAGAGGGUGAGGGGUGGCGGCGUCUGGUGCCGCUGACCCUAGGGCGGCGGCGGUAGAACUGGAGGGGUGCGGAAGCUAGGCCAGAUCGUUUGGCUGAUACCAUGAUAGAAUUGGAUUGAGGUUUGGGAUUGACCACCCAAAGAUGGCCUCCUGUUAUCUCAUAUAUAUAUGGGGGUCAAUACAAGAUAUACAUGGGAGGUAAUCAAUCAUGAUCCUAACCAUAAAGGCCGGUUAACAAUAAUACCAGCGCUAUUAAAGGAGAGGAUAUGUCAAGAUCCUAACACUAGCUAUUGUUAUGUUUUCUUUUAUCACGGUAUUUUUCGAACAGAGUUUGAAAGACACAGUAAACUGUAAAGUAACAGAAUUGCUUGGUUACACCCAAUAAUAACACAGAAAAGUUCUUAAGGCUUUUAUGUACGAUAUCGUUGUCUUAUACUCAAACUAGAAUUUGCAAGAUGUAUACUGUCAUGUGGGCUGGUACCAGCAGGCCACCAAGGAGGAGUGCGGUGGCAGCAGAUUAUAGGGAUAAACUUCCCAGUUCAAGGUGACCUUGCGGCAGCCAAGAAUUGCAUCCUACGAUCUUAAUUCGGUCUCUGUCAGAGCUUGGUGGGGUACAAUCUUCAGAGGGAAGCUGACUGUCGCGCAGAAAUGGCAUUUCUUUUGCAGCUUAUGUGCUAUGGCAGAUCUGGAUCGAGCGAAGUCAGAGAAUUUUCAGGCUUAAUGCUUCCUAUUCCGAUUCUGUGCUGAGUUUUGUGUGUGAGAACUUCAGCCUUAUGAUUCUGUGCCGAGUUUUGUGUGUGUGAACUUUAGCCUCGUGAUGGAGGCGGAUGAGGACUAGCUUUUUCUUCUUGCUGUACCGCCGAGGCUAUUUGCUGUAGUCUUGGGUCCAGGGUUACCCUCCAGGAGUCUUUAGAAAGUAGUGCAUUCCUUCCCCAAUAAGUCCUAGUUUUGUCAUAACUAUUUUUUCUGAAGAAUAAUAGCAGGUGCUCUGCUUUUGCAUUCAGGAGUAGAGGUACGACUAACAGUAGUUAGGAGAAUUCCUUCAAAACAACAGUUGUUAGGAGAAGGCCACACAAAAUAACAAACAAAAAGAAAGAAAGAAAGAGCCUGAUACUGCCAUGGCAGCUCAGCUGUACAGACAAACAAAAACUAGACCGAAACUGCCUCCAUGAGGAGCCCAAAAUCAUUUUGUCAUGAGUUAAGGGUUUGUUUGGUUUGAGUCCCAUUUGUCCUACCAAAAUUUGGCAAAUCAAAUAAUUGUAGUUUCCGUUGUCCUUGAGUUGGCAACUUCGACAAAAAAAAAUUAAACUAGAGUUAACUAAAUUGGCUUGCCAAAUAAUUGGCAAUCAUCUAAACAACUACCAGUCAAUAAACAAAUUUUUUUUUCGACAGGACAAUAACCAAAAUUCAGCAUGCCGCAUCUUGGCACCAAACCAAACACACCCCAAAUUUGUCAAAGUUUGACCAAAGUUUAAUGUAUCAACAUCUAGAUUUUUGUAUUUCAUAAAUUUAAUCAAAGUUUUUAAUUUUUUUAAUUACGACAAAUCUAGCAUUUGAAACGAACGAACGAACAAACUAGGGAGUAUAUUUUGGCCACACGUACAUCGUUCGAUGGGAACGGGCCGUCCCGUCCCAUCUUUGGCACGUACGUCACCACAAGAUCCUACAGAAGAAGACAACCAGCAGAACUUUCUCCAGACCCCUUGUCAGAUCACAGACACGAAUCUCAACCAGAUCGGGUCCUUUAUCUCCCAGAGCCAUUCCCCGCCACUCCCAACUGCCGCAACGGAUAAUAAGCUUAAGCAAGCGCAAGAACACACACACUGAUAAUCGCUGACACGGAAGAAGAAUACGAAAACAAGAGGGGAAUACAAAAGACUUACAAAGAUGCAGGCUUUCCUCUCUUCUUCGUCGAUCCUCGCGAACCCAUGCCCCAGAUCCUUGUUCCCGCGUCCAUCCACACAAUCCCAGCUUCUCCUCUCUUCCGUUUCUGGCGCGAGGACGAAUGCUGCUGCUGCUGCCAGCGCGAGAAGAUCCAGCGGCCGGUGCGUGGCGACGCCGGCGUCGUCAUCCCCAGCGGUGGCCGCGGUCGCCACAGAUGUGCCGGCGAAGAUGAAGGCGUGGGCGUACGAUGAAUACGGAGACACCGGCGUGCUGAAGCUCGACGAGGCCGUGUCGGUGCCAGCGGUGGGCGACGACCAGGUGCUGGUCCGGGUGGCGGCGGCGGCGCUCAACCCCGUCGAUUCCAAGCGCCGGAUGGGCAAGUUCAAGGCCACCGACUCCCCUCUCCCGGUUAGCUUGCUAGCUCCGGCGUUGCUUUGCUCUUCUUUAAUUUCACUUCCCUUCCAACACUUCCUAGCUCUUGGAUUCAUGAAUCGGGUGGUUGAUCGAUCUGUGUAGACCGUGCCGGGAUAUGACAUGGCCGGCGUCGUCGUCAAGGUCGGCAGCCAGGUGAAGAGCCUCAAGGAAGGCGACGAGGUGUACGGCCACAUCAGCGAGAAGGUCCUGGAGGGCCCCAAGCAGUUCGGCUCGCUGGCGGAGUACACCGCCGUGGAGGAGAAGCUGGUGGCGCUCAAGCCCAAGAACAUCGACUUUGCGCAGGCCGCCGGUCUGCCGCUCGCCAUCGAGACCGCCCACGAGGGCCUGGAGAGGGCAGGCUUCUCUGCCGGCAAGUCCAUCCUCGUCCUCGGUGGCGCCGGCGGUGUAGGGUCCCUUAUCAUCCAGGUCAGACAUUGCUGCUGCUGCUGCUUCGCUUCAAUCUGAAAAUGCCUUUGCAAGGCUGAAUUUUCUGUCCAGUUCAGCAAUAUAACACUGAACAUUUUUACCAUGGUGUAAUGUUUGCUCUUGGUGCACAAUGAAGUUGGCGAAACAAGUCUUUGGUGCAUCCAAGGUGGCUGCGACAGCCAGCUCGCCGAAGCUUGAGCUUCUGAAGAGCCUCGGAGCCGAUGUGGCCAUUGACUACACUAAGGAGAACUUUGAAGACAUGCCAGAGAAGUACGAUGUCGUGUUCGACGCAGUCGGUAAGUUCACCAUCAGAAGAUUGACAAAAUAAAUCAAGUAGUCCUCAGCUGACAUAUUCUCCACAAUGCCGGGUUUCAGGUCAGGGUGAUAAGGCCGUCAAGGUGGUGAAGGAAGGUGGCAGUGUAGUUGUCCUCACCGGCGCUGUCACUCCUCCAGGAUUCCGGUUUGUGGUCACCUCUGAUGGAUCUGUCUUGGCGAAGCUCAACCCUUACCUCGAGUCCGGGAAGGUGAAGCCGGUCGUCGACCCCAAGGGGCCAUUCUCUUUCCCCCAGGUUGUGGAAGCAUUCUCCUAUCUUGAGACUGGGAGAGCCACUGGCAAAGUAGUUAUUUCACCGAUUCCAUGAGACCGGCGAAUGGCAGAAAUUGCUAUCAGACCAUGCGGGAGUCACAGCUUCUAGACUGUAUCAAAUAGACUAAAGUGAAGUUUAUUUCAGGUACAGUUCAUAGAAUUACAAAUGGUAUAAACUGUGCUGAACCACUGAUUGGUGUGCAGUUUGAUUUGAAAGGACAUACAGUAAAGAAAGAUCUCUCUGUAUCCACGAGUUUUAUGUAACUACAGAAUUGCCGGUUCUCCAUUGCCAGUUCAGCUGUGUAUCGAUGAGAUGUUUAUUGCUUGGGAGCCAAUCUGAUCGGGCAGAUAGCAAAUGCCAUGCGGCGUGCCGCAAAGGCCAGUGAGAACCGUUCAUCCUCGGUCAGCGCCCUCUCUAUAACCUUGACAACAGUUGGAUCCUGCCAUUGGAGAUUACACUUUAUCAUAUACUAGUUGGCUAUAAUUAAAUGGGGUUACCUACUUACAUUAGAAUGUUCCUUAAGAAAACAGAUAUCUCCAAUGAAAGGAUGAAUUAUGAGAAUAUGUAUCUAAUUAGCAUACAGAUAGGUAGGGGUUCGAAUACCCUUAUCUGCAGUUGGCUGGGAGCUGGCCGAAUCCGGGCAAUGUCACCAACUCUGAUCACAUUGUUGACGUUUCCAUGUUCAUCUGUCUCUGAUGGCAAUGAAGUCGAGUGCCUCCACUGACCCCCAACUAUGAACUUGUAAUAGUACCUGAACGAGUAUAGGUUAGCUGCAGAUAAUAAAGCAUCCGAAGAAAAUAGAUCAGAAGUCAAACCAAAAUGCCAAGUUGUUAUCUGUAUUAUACUAAAAGAUUUCCAAGGCACAGAUGAAUCUUGUUACAGAAUCUUCAGAAUCAAGAAUUAACAACUUACUUUCCAUGUCGAAGUCGAACUUCAGCUUCAUGUCUCGACCCACCCUGGUGGUUACACUUCAGUUUGUCUUUCCAGUUACUUGUGAAAUCUCCGAUUAAUUCCACCUCCUCACCCUGCAUAACAUUUGUAGCAUUCAACUCCCUCAGGUCAGUAAUUAUGAAGAUCAACACAGAAAUCAAGUCUGUGCUGGAUAAAACCAAAGAUUUUCACAGGAAAAGCAUACUGCUCAAUGCCUGCUCAAUGGUACAUUCUGUUAUGGAGAAAAUUUACCUCCCGACCAUUGUUCCAAACAAAGCACACUGAAUGUGUAGGAGUGCCAUCAUGUCUUCCAUUUUCAACUAAUUGAAUGAGAUCCCAAGUUGCCCAAACGAUUGCCGCUCUGCGUAUUGAAACAAAAAGGUUAGCUCAAACAAUAACCACGACAACAGCUGAAACAGUGCGAGUAUUAGAGGAACCAGUCUGCUCUUUUACUGAGGUUCAAUCCAGACAAAUAAGGAAAACAAAAUCAACUAAAAUUACCUGUCAGGUCUACAUGAGUGCAAACCAGUGAUGAACUUGUGAGCAAUAUGAAGAGGUGUAUCUUGAACCCAAUGUAGAUAUGCAAUUACACAUGCUGGUGAUCUAUCAUAUCCAGUGGUACAAGUCACAUAUAUACGGUAGUUCUUCCUUAUAAGGCGCAAAAGAAGACCAACACAAAAAGGAAGCUUCUUUCUCAGGUCCAUGGAAUCAACCUCUCUGAAAAAGAAAAGAAAAGAAGGGCGUCUAUAAUUCAUGAAUAUCAUAUUGGAACUAAAAAUGGCAAGCAUGCAGUGACUAAACAGGUAAGAACAAUACUGCUACCAAAUAGAACAGUACAUAGCAAAGAUAGUACCUAACACCAAGUACUAUACUGGCCAGUAUCAUCUACAUUACUGUAUAAUUAAACUCCACAAUGAACUCCAUAAUGAAGGAAGAAUAAAUAUAUAUUUCAACAGAAAAGAAGACUAGUGCAAUUACUCGUUGAAAUGAGAACAGAUUACAGCAUUCUCAAUAUUACUUAUCUAAGAAACUGUAGCCAGCUAAGUUUUUCAUUCUUGUCUACUAAUAAGAUGAUGAAGGAAAAAAAAACAUAUCCUACCGUAUAGGGUAGUUAAUCAUCAAGAUGUUAUUCUCACGGCAAGAACUGUUGAUUGCCUCUGAAUUGAUUCCCCAAUUAAUGCGCUCACUUUCACUUUGGAAAUUCAGGACAGCAGUAAUACCCUGGAGCCUUUUAAAAUAUCAGAAACUAAACUGAACAGUAAAAGGCCAGGUAAAAUUGAACAAAUAAGAUUUCUGCUGAUUGUAAUGCCAGAAACCUACCACAGUCUCUGAUAACAUCUUCACAUCCUUUUCUGUUUGUAUGCAUGAUCCAACAAAUAUUUGUUCAGUAAUCUGUUAAAAGAAUAAAUCAAAUAUUCAAAUAACUUGUAUACUUGUUGAUAAGGUAAUGCUCAAAUCUUGAAAGUAUAUCUACAGCACCUUCAUGUAGGAUCCCAUAUAUAGAAAACUAACAAGAGGGAAAAGAAUAAUUUGCUGACCUUGCUGUAUUGCAUACCAAGUGAAUGGUUAUAGUACAGUUCGCCUUUAGCACGGUCUAGUGCUUUAAUGUACUCCUCCAACGGAAAGCUACCAUGUGCCCAUUCAGCAUCUAGAUCAUCCUCAUCAGAGUAUAAGCCAACAAUCUCACUUAUCCGAUUUGCAAGGUUCGUACUCUUCCUAUUUAAUCCAUCUUUCUCACGAGAUAAAAGUGACCAUCCUUGAGCACUUAGCAGCCUAGGACAAAACAUAGCAAAUCCAGAAUUCCCAUUUCCUGGAGAAGACUCGUUCAGUUUCGAGGACAAUUGAGCACUAUUCCAGGUAGCAAGAGCAACCCUCCCCCUGUUAAAUAGGAUAUGAUAAUCUUCAUUUUGAUGCAACUGAUGUAUCGGAUAAGGAGCAAAUGGCCGUUCAAGUACAAGAUUACAUGGUCCUGACUUUUCCUUCAGCGCCAUCCUGCAGAUAAGUUAUAGAGAACAUAUGACCAAGACAAAUAGUACAAGUUCCAACUUCCAAGAGUGCUCAUUAGUUGAUUUAGUUCCAUCCUACUUUCCACAAUUCGUUCAUAAAUUUAAUUGAUAAUGUUUUGAUGGAAUGGUACAGUUAAUACCAUCAUUAACUCACUCCUUUCCUUUUUGUUGGGUAGAUUACUGUAUUACAAGCUUGUUGCGAGCAUUUGCCUACAACUUUAGAUAUAUUUCAGUUAAAAUAUGCCAUCUUAUCUUGUUCCCUAAUUUUGAUAUGCGACAAAAUUGUAACUCACAACAUUUCAGCUCUAGGUUGCAACAGAUAUACAGCAUAACAGAAAAUACCUCCUAUCACAACUAUUUGUCUAUGAUACUCUGAAAAAAACGAAGAGAGAUUAAAGGGAUACACUUGUUUCAGCUACAGCAUAUAGAAACUGUACAGGUGUCAUACUCCGUGUCACCUAGGUCUUUGAUGUUAACAAGGCUCUCGCUCUGGCCUGCCUUCUUGAGCGUAUCACCGACCAUGAUGAUCCGCGACUUCUCCGCAUUCCCCUGCCACAGAUGCAGAAUCAACAGUCAGUUAAGCUGCAGGAACGUCCCGAAAUAUACGUAUAUACCCGAUGGCACCGACAGACUAGAGAGAGGUGGCAAACUAUCGUUUCCACAAUAAUGCAACGACAAAAAUAAUACUAGUUCAGUAGCUCUGAUUGUUUGGCACGUAGGAAGUAAUGCCAGUAUCCCUCGAACGCAGAGAAGUACUAGAAACGAUCAGCUCAAGUGAAGUGAGCAACAGAAUCAGAAUGGAAGGCGUUACGGGGACGAAAUAUGCAUGUGGCUUAUUACCCCUCUCUUGAGGGAGUGCACGAAGACGCGCCCGUUGACGGCGAGCGCGAAGCGGACGCCGAGAGGGCGGUCGACGGCGACCAUGUACUCGUUGAGGUUCAUCCUGACCGUCGCCACCGCUUCCUCGGGCUCGUCCUCCGUCUCCCCGCCCGCCAUCGCCACGGCGACGCCCAGCCUCCUCCUCCACCCGCUCCUCCUGCCCGUCCACCAAGCGGCGGAGGCGCGAACCCUAGACGCCGACGGCCGGGCCACUGAUCUGACUCUGACACCACCCGGGACGCCAGUGGCGGCACCGGCGGCAGAGGGCGCGGCGAGGAGGGCAAUGUUUGGGGCGGGGACGAGGUGGAGCGCCAUGGGUUGGGAUCUGAUCGGGCGGCGAUCGAGGGAGGGAGGGGCAAAUGGCCGCGGGAUCAGGGCGGGGGAGGGGGGGACGGGGGAUGGGAGGGAUGGGAAGUGUGUGGAAAGAAACUGAAAGCGGAAGGGAAGGGAAGUGCUUGGGAGUUUGCGCGCGCCCAGCAGGCCCGCACGGACGGACAGAGCCGGGCCCCAUCUUGCCAGUGUACGAUAAACGUGACUGCUACAGAGGCCGAUGCGUUUGCAUAGUUGCUUGUACUUGUUCUCUGAACCUGAUAGGCUGAUAGCACCAAAUGUUUCAUAUCCCAGUGAACCAAACCUUUUAGAAUGCCAGCUGAAUCUUACUAUACAAAAGGAAAAUAGAGCAAAAGUGUAGCGACGAGCGCAAUGGAAGCAACCUACACCAUGAAAAUGAGCUUGUAAUUGUAAGCAAUACAAGCAUGCUAGUAGCAUGCAAAAUGGAUCUUCAUGCGUAGAUAGAGGUGAGAGAAAGUGGAAGACAUUCAACGGUAAGAGGUGUGGUAAAAGAGGCUAUGGUAAAUAUGAAAAAAAAACCUUGGCGCUAGCACCCAAUGCUAAGGAAAUUAAAUUGUUCUCACAAAUUUUUAGCACUUUAAUAGAUGUAAGCGAUAUCAUCUUUAGCAUCAAUAUCCAAUAGGUGAUUCAGGGAUGGAUUGGCCGUUGGCAACUUGCCGGGCACGUAAUGCACGACACGGAGAGCGUCAUAAGUAUAUGGUAAAGGAAGGUUAGAGAAGUGAAUGGAUAGAGAAAGUUGAGGUGUUCACUUUGGCGCCUAACUUAUGAGUAGCAAUUAUAGGGACGCUCAUGCUCUUAAAUGGUACUCCCUCCGUCUCAUAUUAAGUAACUCAAAUUUAUACGAAUAUGGAUAUAUCUAUGCCUAAAACGCGUCUAGAUACAUGUAAUAGAAAAUCACUUGAUAUGGGACGGAGAGAGUACAUGUGUAGUUAGACAAUAGGGCUGCUAGUUUUCAAAGUGUACAUGCUAUGCUCUUGAAAACUAGCAGCCCUAUUGUCAUGACAUGGUCCAAACGGACCAAUUGAUGUCGAAGAAAUCAAUCAGUGGUGAUCAUGAGGGGGAAAAUUCACUCUAACCUAGAGUUUGUUCUCCGCGCCAUUUGGGGACAAGCCGUGUAUGUCAUGACGUCGUGGAUAUGGGAGCGAUAAAUCUACAAAAUGGUGUUUUCGCUGGCUAUGCCCUUUAUUUUAAAAAUAACAAAAUCAUAUUUUAAAGCUUUGAAUUUUUUUCUGAAUUUUCUCUAGCAAGUAUAGAUGUUUUUAGGUACCUAUACAUUUUUGUCGAAAAAUACAUUGAUUUGCGUUCUGUGCAAAAAUCACAAACUGUAAAUUUAUUUGGAAUCUACAAAUUUGUGAUUUUUACACAAAUCACAAAUUAUUGUAUGUUUUUGACGAAAACUUAUAGGUUUAUAGGUAUGCAUAUCUAUGUUUACACUGAAUAAAAUCAGAAUUUUCUAAAACUCAAAAAUAUGAUUGUUCUUUAAAAUAAAUAAAUAAAGGGCUCUAAGGAGCCCGAGCUCCACGAAAAUCCAAUGCGCUUACACAGAUCUCCCACGAACAGGAUAUGGUCUUUUUGCAGCCACCUUCUUGAGCUAUUGCACGGCUAGUUACUACGUAACGAACUACUAGUACAAAUUUCAGCAUUCAUCAGCAUCAACUUGGUCACAAGAAGUCAAGGUCUCAAGGAUAAUGGCACACUAACUAAAUUACAGGUUAGCGCAUGUCAUGUUUCGUCACAACCAGAACAGAGCACAAACCUGAUUAGACCUGAGAUCAGUAGUAAACAAAAUGAAUCCCGAGUAUAAAUCCAUUGAAUGCUGGUACAACACGUAUAAACAAAGACCAGAAACUGCCAACAAGGCCCAAAGCUGAAGAGUGAUAUGCAAGAACCACCAAUCCUGAAGGGUACUACUAGGCAAGAACAACCAGUCCUGAUGAGUGCUACGCUGUUGCAUCAUGCAAAGGACUACCAACUUGUUGCUCGGAAUUCCUUCCGUGUUGAUGUUGACUGAUCUACCAUAACUCAGCUGAACUUGUCAGGUAUGAACCCAAGUAUGUACAUAAUCUAAUUCUAAUACAUAGAGUAGCAACAUUUGUUUUGAUACAAUAUUCACCAUAUAAAAAUCUACAGAAACAUCAUGCUGUAGCAAGUGAACCAUAAGGUAUGUUAGAUCGAUAGCCGGUAUCUCUAUGUAAAGUUACUUCACUACCCACCUAUAUUAACUUGCUUCACCAGUUCUUCGAGUUAGUUCUCUGAACUCGCUCAGGGUGCUGUGGGUUAAAUAGUGAACAAGUUACUCUGUAGAGGAAGAACGGGAGCAAGGCUGUCACAACAAUGACUAGAGUAGACAGCCAGUACAGAGGGCUUGAAGCACAAGCUUCCCAGAAAACAUGAUACGCUGUGGUCGAUAUCAUAGCAGGGAAUGAGCCAUAGAUGAUUAGAAAAGUGUACCAAAUCAGUAUACUGCCCCAGAUGACGAAAUGUUGUAUCCAGGUAAAGUAGCUGAUGUAGAGUGCUAACUGGCAAUUGACAGUCCACACCACACAAGUGUACAUGGUCACUCCAAGGAUGUCAAAUCCAGCAACACGGCCAUCCUGUCGAACAGCCUGAAUGAGAACAGCAUUGAUGGCACCAAAGAAUAUAAUGAUUGAAGAGCACAGUCCGUUUAGCAUCCAACUGAGUAUACGAGACCAGCUGAAGAAUACAUUAUUCACGCCAUCUUGAUGUAACAAAGGGACCUGCAGUACGCAAAAGAGAGCCAACUAAAACUGGUUAGAAAGAGAGGGAAAAUAAUGCAAGCACUGAAAUAACUCCCAAGUGAUAUACAUGAGAACCACAUUAGUCUAGCCAAGUUCAAAGAAAAGCUGUAAAUGGAAACUGUUAGCCAAGUUGUUUAAGCAUGGAGGUCCUUUAAGCACACAUUCAAUUCAACCCUUUGAUCAUGUUGAUGUGCAUAACUCGUUACCUUCAUUUCUCCAUCUAGUUUCUUUAGAGUUCUCUUGAUGAUUGAUUGGAUUAUUGUUUUGUGCAGGAAGAGAACAAAUCGAAAGUAGGAUUGGCUAUGGAUUCGAGCCAGUACCAGAGGACCGGGAAGGACACACCUCUGGUGUACCAGUACUGUUAUGUACGGAGUAUAUGCAUACAUGAACUCUUGCACUCAACUCUAAUACAACUAACUGCCCCCAUACCUAUAACAGUUGUGUGGGCUUAAUGAUGAUUCAAGGACAAUUAGAGGUGUCACUAUGUAACCCUCCUCUCCCAUUGACAAGAUAAAUCUUCUUUUGUGUAGGUGUACGUGAAAUGGAACUUAGUGCACUUAUGUAUUUCCUCAAGUGAAAAAGAGACAAAUCCAAAUUAACCAUGAACUUGUACCGAAGUUCAUAUCUAUGAUUUUCUGUAACUUUUUCAAUAUAUUCUGGGCACUUUCAAAUUUUAGCCAAAAUUUGAUUUCCAAACUUAAUAAGUGGUUUAUUUUCAAACCAUUUAUCCAAAUGAGAUGGAAGUUUCCCAUAAUAUUAAGUAUACCAUUGUGUUUUUUUUUUCAUUUUUUGUGGGCACUUUCAUAUUUCAUCCCAAAAUUUGAAAUUCAAACUUAAUAAGUUGUUUAUUCUCAAACCAUUUGUCCAAAUGAGCUGAAACUUUCCUAGAAUAAUAAGGAUAUCAUUUGUGAUUUUCUUUUAAAAAAAUCUGGGUACUUUGAAAUUUCAGUCCAAAAUUUGAAGUUCAAACUUAAUAAGUUGUUUAUUCUCAACCAUUUGGCCAAAUGAGCUGAAACUUUCCCAAAAUAGUAAGAUAUCAUUUGUGAUUUCCUAUAAUCUUAUCAAAAAAAUUGGACACCUAAAAUUUUGGACUGAAAACGGGUCAGGUUGAGAUCAGGUCCGGUCAGGCUGACGUAGACGAGGUGACUGGUGACACAUCAGCAAAAACUGUUUACAUGGUUUAGGGGGGUACUUUAAACCAAGAGUCAAUGGUUGUAAUCUGAAUUUUGGUACAAGUUCAGGGGGGUAAUGUGGACUUAUCUCCACGAAAAAUGAUGAUGGUGGUGGUUAGUGAACAAUGAUUCUGUAUGAUCACGGGAAAUUAUGUUUGUGGCACUUACUUAGCCGCAUGCAACAGUCUAGUCAUCAUUACAAUUCAUUAUUAAAAUUAUAUAUGUAACUUACAUGUGCCAUAACCAUUAUUAUAAAACAAAUUAUGUACCUCGAGGCAAACACUGGCAGAGACAUCUUUAUUGAAAACACCUAGAGCGAUGACGGGGAGAGAUGUGAAGGCAACAUUGUAGAAAGAUAUAAACCAAUCAUUGUAACCAGGUUGAGCUGAGAACAUGGCAUGAGCCUCAAACCAGAAAAGUGUGAAGCCAAAUGUAAUGUUCUUGAAGAAAAAAUAGCAAAUCUGUUGAUAGGAAAAACGGUAAGAGACUGGUUAGAUAUCAUGCUGCUGAUUAUACCACCUCAUAGCACAGAAUAAUAUCUUCAAGAAUUCAAAUAUAAAUACUUAAAAAUAUUAGUACUUCAUGUUUAAGUCUUCAAAUGUAAACACCCCUAAAUAAGAAACAUCAUGAAAACUGGACAGAACAGCCUCCUGGAAGGAACAGAAGAGAGGCAAAGCAUGAUAUAUGUUCCCAAAAAAAUACCAAUGAAACGCAUCUAUCAGAAAAUACCAUGGUAGUUCACUAAGAAGCAGAAUAAAUAGAAAUGGAAGGACUUUACCAUGGCUGCAAUACGGCGGUAACACCAGUGACCAUGCACAAGGAGUAACCGCUCUAGAAAGCGAAACUGAGCUAUUGCAAAGUCACUUGCCAUCACAGCCUGCAACACAAAAGGCACCAUCAGAUGUUAGCUACUAGGAAGCAGAUCAGUAGGCAUGAUUUACAAACACCGAGUAAAAGGGUUGAAACUUUCAGUUCAGCUGUGAACACUGCUUGCCAAGUGUCAUUUUCACCAGUCAUUGCUUUGUGUAAUUAUAAGUAUAUCAGAACCUCGCAGAUGAGCAAAUUUGACCACAUGAUUCAGAAUUUCAGAUAAUAGAAACUGGGUGUACGUCAUUGUUGUUAUCAAUCUAGCCAGUCAAUCUUUCAUGGAUCCCACUGAAAAAAGCUCUCAUGGAAAUAGAUACAAACACCCUUGAUGUAACACCACAGCAACCAUUCUGAAAUAACCCUUAGAAAUGGCACAUAAAGUGCUCAACACAGGAUACACAUACCUACAAAAAAAUGUACUCCAUACCUAACAUCAAGUGUGGUGAAAUGGUAAUUACUGGCGAAGUCCAGUCAAGCUUCUUUCAAGUACAAAUGAACUCAACGGGUAAUUUUAGAUAGGUCUGGUAUGCAAAGACUUGACAGAUUGUGGUUGCAGUUCUUUUUUUUUGUGUAUUUCAAGAUCAAAACAGGCAGAAGUUGUAACAAGAAAUUGCAGACAAAAUUACGAAAAGGAGGUCUUGUAGAGGACAAAAAGGAGGUUUUCUAGAGGACAACAGACCUGCAUUCCUUCAGCACCACUUAUUCCAACACCAAUAUCAGCCUCUUGUAGCAUACCAACGUCAUUUGCUCCAUCACCAAUAGCUAGUGUGGUUUUCUUUGUUUUUGUUUUAACCAACCUGGUGAUCUGCAAUUGUUCAAAAUGGCCAAAUAGUAUACAGAGAUAGAAAUAUAGAAACACCAACAUUAUCUUGUUACAAAAUGACCAAACAAGAGGAAUAACUAAUGGUUGUUACUCACCAGUGCUUUCUGUUUAGGCGACAUGCGACAACAUAAAACUGAUGCACAAUCAACUGCUAGAUCCAGAAAUGAGUCCUUAAGACUGCCCGUAAGAGCAUAUGUUAGAGCAUUGCCAUCAAUGAUAAGAGCAAAUGGAGUUGAAGUUCCUUUCAAUGAAAUUUGCCUUCGAGCAUCUUGUAAUUUUCUACCGAUAUGUUCAUAUGGAGCCUAUACGAGCCAAUAUGAAACGUAAGAAACAGUAGAACACACAUGAGGUAAACUGGUCCUAUAAAUAAUUUAUGUAUGCGCGGUUCGCUGUUAAGAUAGUACAAACAUCAAUGGUUAUUGAUUUCAUAUAUGUAAACCUGUCUUUUGACUUCACUAGUAUUUUGAGAAUAGCUUAAAUUCUGCAUUCGUUUAUGCAUUGAUAUUUCUACCCAAAGUGCCCUACAUGUGUACAUAGAUGUUAUGUCCCGAUCAUUCGGUUGACACGGCAGCUAAAAAUCCAUCAUGUCCCUAUCCAUGAUUGACGGUGCUAGAUAGCGAGAGCGAUGCGCUCGAGAGCAAUCCCACCUUUCCGUAGAUGUUAAAACAAGAGAGCUGUGAUAUAUGAUGCACUACCCAGUCCUAUCAUCUAUGAUCUCACUUUCAUCCUGACCCUUGGGUUCGAAUGUUGUUGUCUCGCACCCGUGCAUUGCUCCUCUAUGGCAAACUUGUAUUGCCAUGUUGUGGGUGAAACAACUGAUCCUCUAUGACCAUGUGUUAUGAUCCAACAGUGCUCUUUUACUUUAUAUGUGUGCACUUUUAGGGACCAAGCUGCACACGAUACCAAUCCUUUGUCUAUGCAUACAUGCAAAUAGCUGGAGAUAAGGAAGUGUUUUCUUUUUGUAAUUACAAACCAUUCUGCUGCCUUCCUGGUUGCAUCCCUCUGGAGCAUUUGUUCCUGAGUUGUCCAGUGUCACAAAAAAUUCCUCCAUUUCCUUCCUCAAUAAGUUGCAAGAAUAACUACAUAUGAAGCACUGAUACACAUUAAAUUUUAAGGUAAUAAGAUCUCAGUUCUCAGGAAUGUAACAACAUAUCUAAGUUUUAAGGUAACAAGAUCUCAGUUUUCAGGUAUGUAACAAUAUAUGGAGCUAACCCUAUGUUGACAGCUGUCUCCAACUUGUCUCCUGUUAAAAUCCAGAUCUUAAUUCCAGCUUGCGCUAGUUUGUGAAUACACUCUGGAACCUGCAAGAAUUUUGGGUUAGAUGCAUUGAGCAUGUACAGUGAAACAGCUAUAUGGUUUGUGUACAUAAGGAAUGUUUCAGGGGAAAGGUCAUCGAUAUCACAAUAAGUCAAUAGGUGAAGCACCAGAGGCACAACUACGUAAAAGUAAUCAAACAGAAACUCGUGAGAGGUUUUUGAAUAGGACAAUAGAUACUAAUCAAGAAGUACAUGCUAGGAACAAAAACAGAGUACAGAGUUAUAUAUCAAAAUAAAUAAAGGAUCCUUUAGAAGAUAAGAAUUCCCAAAAGAAAAUGAACAUACCCCCUUUUGCAGUCUGUCUUCCACAGCAGUAGCACCUAAGAGAACCAAAUCUUUCUCAAUAUUUUCUGAGGCCUUCUCCACAGCUGCAUCAUGAUCAGUGUGUACAGAAUUCUUGGCGGAUGAGUACUCCUCAUUCCAGGCAGCAUAGUCAUCCUCAGUAAGUUCACGAUAUGCCAGUGCAAGGGUCCGCAGACCUGCCUCAGAAUACACUUCGAUGUGCUGCUUCGUAUUGGCCACACAAGAUUUUUCAUUAUCCUUAGAGAGCCUUUCGAGUAUUACACUGAAGCAAAAAGAUAUGAAAAAAUGUAGAUACUUUAGUAAAACUUUGGGAAGGCAGAAAAAACAAAGUAUGUGAAAUUUAUGCCUUGCAAAGUUGCAGAUUAGCAAUUUCAAGUCUUUUCCACCUAAGAAGAAAAUGUAAUUCACAAAAUCUAUUUCUUAGACCAGGUUGAAACCCACUAUUAUUAUUGAUGUUGGGUCCGUAAUCAGCUUACUAAAAGCACAAUGUAAAGAAAUGCUAAAAGAACCUAAUUUGUGGAGUAGAAAAUAAAAUUUUCCAUCGCAUAUAUGAAUAAACAUAUCCCACCUGUCAGCUCCUUUGCAGAACAGAAAUAGCCGACCCUCUUCUGUCCUCAGAAUAACAGACAUGCGCUUCCGGGCACUGCUAAACUCUAAUAUGUUGAGUAGCUUAUAUGUUCUGAAAUAUAAAUUAGGCAUCAAGCACGAGGGAAAAGGUCAUGACUUGGAAGAAAUUAGCACAAAGAACAGUAGAAAAGAUAAGCACCUAUCCACUUCUUUACCAAAGACAGGCUCAUACUCGUGCACCGAUAUGGUUGUCUGUGUCCUAUGAUAAAAUUCAAAACCAAAUUCUCUGGCAGCUGCAACAAGAGCUCCUUCAUCAGGUGACUCCGCUUCAUAAGUCAUCCCAAUAGAAUCUUUAUCUGACACCGGUAUUGCAGUGUGACAAACAGCUAAUGCACGGAAAAACAUCUCUAUAGCAUCUCUAUGACAUUCUUUAGCCCAUUCUCCGUUCAUCAAACGACCGUCAGUGAAGUUAAAUCCCUUGACUGAUCUUUUAGAUUUAGCUGCAUGCAUUUGGCCAGACACGUCCUCUAUUUCACCGUAAGACAUCUCCACUUCUGUAAGCCUACUGCCAUAAGCAACACCAGCAAUGGAACAUUUGGAGAACUCCAUUGAAUUGCAUGUUAAGGUUCCUGUUUUGUCAGAGAGUAUGGUAUGAACCUGACCAAGUUCCUCAUUCAAAUUUGAUGUGCGAGCCCUUGCUGGUUUAUCAGACUCCUCGCAAUACAUAUUCUGGUCUUGGUUUAUGAAAGUGCUCUGUAAGACUUUAACCAUUUCAAUUGAUAUAUACAAUGAAAUGGGCACCAAGCAUACAUACAACAUAAGACUUGUCAGAAAAUGGCAAAAGGCUGCAAAUGAUGCUCUGUUUGGAUCAAAGAAUAUACUGGACUGAUCUGGCCUUAGGUACCAUGCAUAGCUUCCUACAUUUAAUUCGGCCUUCGUCUUGAUCCCAAAGAAAAUUGACCCAAAAGAUGCAAUAGUGAAGAGAACUGCAAAGAGAAGAUAAACUAUUUUGUCCAUUCUCCGUUCAACAGAACUCCUCUUUGAUGGUGGCUCCGUUGCAUUCUGCAUCACCUUUGUUUCGUGCCCUGUGAAUAUUACAGUGCCAUAUAUGAAGUUUGUAUUCCGAAGCUUUGAGUCCCUUAGCAAGAUCUGUUGUGGAGACAGAGGAUAUUGUUGCUCCCUAUAGUACAACGUCCCUAGGAAGGAGUAUAAUUUCUCGUUUGGAUCCUCACAUUGUAUAAAAGCCUUGAAACUAUGGAAAGAAUGCUCCUCACUCAAGCCAACGGUCACGUCCAACGAUUGUUUUCGCUUCAAGUUUGUCUCUCCAUCAAGAUUCAUCGUUUCAACAUAACAUGUUCCAUCCUCAUGGCACGAAGAGAGCAAAAGAAGGUCCGCAGGGAAGAACUCAUCUUUUUUCACUUUAACUAUAUCACCAACUCGAAGCUUCUUCCAUUCUGUUUCAUGAAAAGAUUGGGUCCCAUCAUAAACCUCAACCUUCCUAUUGUUCACUUCUAUGUCCUGAACAAAACCAAAAACUAGCCUUUUUUAGAGAAAUAAGUCAAAAACUAGCUUUAGUAAAAAAAACACUAUGAUCGACAUUUAUAGUUGAAGGAGUGGUAACAUUUUAUGUUGCAAGGCAAGGAAUUAUAAAAUUAUACUUCAGCAUUAUAUAUCAGUGGAAGUUGAUAUAGUGCAGAAGAACAAAACACAUGCAGCUAGCCUAGUAUUACUGUGUGGUACAGUCCCACAUGAUAACUAAGACUCUAAAAUUAAUAGAACAUUUCAUCAAUCCCUGCAAAAUAAAACAAUGACUGAGUUACCUAACAAAGCCACUGUUUUGCAGGAAGCUGUGCUAAAAACAAUCUCCUGCUUGGUUUUCAAAACAUAAUUAGCUCAAAAACUAAGAAACCACCAGUUCAACUUCUGGUAGGGUUCUGACUGACCCUUCCGUCAGGGUGAACAUUUAUCAUAGCCAUAUAAAAUGUAUGUGUUGAAGGUUUGACACAAACCAUCAUGGCCAUCCAAUCUGAUCUAGCUGCUUGAGUAAUUAAGAUUAGUAUCUAAAACUUAUGUCUUCAAUCCACAUUUAAUCCCUUAAUAACAUACUAACAUACUACUUACCAUUUCAACCUCUCUUUUCAAAUUAACAGGAAACACACAAUCUAUUUCCCAUUCCUUCGUUGUAACAAUAUGGUCAUAGACUUUAUUUGCCUCUCUGUACAAUGUACUAUUAAAAAAUAAUACCGUGGUUGUCAUAUCUUUCUUUAAUAUUGUUAUAAAACUGUGUUCGGACGUGAGUUCCAAAGCUGGCAGCAUUAUAUUUUGGGCAUAGGCGGAGUGUGCGGAGAACAAGGUGGACAGCCUUGGCUUGGACCACCCUUAAGCUUGGAAUUUUCUUGACUAAUAGCAUUACGUGAAGAUAUUUUGCUAAUUAGAGCCUAUUUCAUCUAGUAAUCAGACCACACGCUUUGCAGCAAAAAAAAAUGAACCCCAAAAUAUUUUCGGACGAACAAAUCUGCAAAAUAUAACUCAAAACACCAGGAAUCAAUACGAUUUUAUACGAAACACCAGGAAUCAAUACCGAUUUUAUACGAACAGGCAGGAGAAGCCACUUGAGAUUUUCGAAUCAGGAGUGAGAACAACCAAGUGAACCCACCGAGAUCAGAAAGGAACAAGUGAGCUGUGAAGAAUCAUAUACUGUCCCCCCCCCCCCCCCCCCCCCCAUGUUUUUUCACAAGCCAAACAAUGGGGAUGAGCAAGCUCCAGUGACUCAAGUGGCAGAGCAAGCGCACGCACCUGCUGCUUCCGGCGCCAGUCCUCGACGGCCUCCUUGGCCAUGGCGGCGGAGACGACGACGAAGAGCGGGAGCAGGACGGAGACGGCGCGGUAGGGCGCGAGCGGGCUGAAGGAGACGCAGGCGACGACGAGGAAGAAGCAGUUGGCGACGCGGCGGAACUGCUCGAAGAGCGACUUGGGCAGGAAGCUGGCGGCCGUGUAUUUGGUGGUGGAUAUCGCGUUCCCCGGGUAGGCGCCAUCUCCCGAGGCGGAGGCGGAGGAGGGGGCGUUGCAUCGGACGGCGCGGGAGAACCCCGGGGCCGGCGCGGGCGGCCCGGUGGCGAGGGCGGCGGGGGAGGAUGUGGAAGGCGUGGGGGUGACGACGGCGAGCUCGACGAGGGGCCGCUCGUCGGUGUCGGUGGCGGAGGCGCGCAUGGUCGGCGUGAGGAGGAGGAGGAUCUGGGUGGGGCGCGGUUAGGGGCGGGUGGGUGUACGAGUGGGGGUAAACGUCCCGGAGACGGCGUCGUCGGGGUGGGGCCUGGCUGUUCGUGCCCUGCCAUGUGGCGAGUUCUGCGACCUUUUUCUUUUUCAGUUUAUGCUUUCUUCUUUUUUAUAUCACCUUUCCCACGCCGCGCAUUUCCUUUUUUUUUUUCCUUCGUGCUGUCUCGGACGCGCGACCCACGCUGCCAAGGAAAAAAAGUGUUUUCGCCUUUUCGGUGUAAAAAGAGUAAAAUAACGAACCGUUUUUUCAUUAUCGGACCAGGAAGAGAGUCCAGUGUGGGCCUGUCUACCAGAUCGGGCUGGCGGAACUGUUCGGAAAAUGGACGGGAAUAGCGCAUUAGUCUCGGAGCGCGACUGCAUGCAUGCAUCGAUCCAUGCUGCGUCAGCUGCUUUUUCCACGUCAGCUGCCAUGUCAGAUCUGUCCCCAUAUCAGCUCAGCGCCUUUUCUCCUGAACCAUGCACAGAGCAGCGGGACGCGACAGCACGAGCAUGCAUCGCUCGUCUUCGCAUGCUCAAAAGUGACUUUAAAAGUUCUAGAAAAAUCUUAAAAUAUUUGUGAUCGUUGUCCUUAAAACAAAUCAAGCUUAUCCAUAUAAACUAAAGUAGAACUAUAGGCAGAGUUGUUGCUAAACUAAACAAUAGUGUCAUUAUGCUCUUUAGCAAAACUACUAGGGAUAGAACUAGUUGCCAUACAAAUCUUAUCUCCUUGUCGCAGAAAAUAUCAUAUGUCGGGUCAUGCAUGUAGUUCACAUGUUGAACCUUCGACAUGAUAUUUCUUAGUAACAAGACAAGACUAUUGUAAGAGGCCAGAUAAGAAUGGACGGGUUUUUUUGUCGAAACAUAUCAAUAUGGGAUCUAGAUUUGACGAGCUUGUCGUAAGAAUCCAACAGUAAAAUCAUUCACAAUUUUAAUGCUUGAUUCAGAAAUAUUGUAGUUCACAAUUAGUUUGAAUUGAUUUAAAUUAAUGGAUGGAUGACAAGAAUGCGAGCGUGUUUUUUGCCACAAGUCUUUUUUAUGUACGGGAUAUUGUCCAUCGUGUAGCAGGUCGAACAUGACAUGGGUGAUACAUGAAUCCGGUAUUCAUAUUGUAAUGACAUAAUUGAUAUGGUAACGAGAUAUGAAUGAAGUAUUGAUGAUAUUAUGUUGAUAUUGAUUACAAUGAAUUUUAAUUGGUAUAGUAAUAAGUUGGCGAUGUGUUAACAAAUUUUUAGUGAUAAUCAAUGAAAUAAUGAUAUGUUAAUGAAAUAAUAUUUCAACCAAUAAUACUCGAUUGAUACUGAAAUGAAAUUUGAUUGAUGUUGGAUUAUUUUUUGCUCGGGUAGGUUCUACAAGAGCCGAUAGAAAACCAAGAUUUGUAACUGAACAAAUUUAGUAGUUUCUGCAGCGACUUCAGGGUAAACAUGCCAUUUCAGUCAUCAUUUUGAUUUUCGUCUCUGCAAUGCGCAUCUCUUUAAAAGCUUUUGACAAAGAUUCUGCGGGAAUGUGCAAUGUCCCGUUCCAAAAAAAAGGGGGUGCGCCAAACAGGACAACGGACUUGUUAUACAGAGUAUUUGAUAUUGUCAGCACGAUAAGUAAACUUAUUCAACUUCUCCAACAAAACAGGAUGAGCUGUCCAUGUGAUAAUUUUUCCCACAUGUUUUAUCAAGCUGAAGUGCUAAUAUUAUAUUGGAGUAAGUACGAACUUCAUAUCAUAAUAAUGCAGCUGAUAGUACCUACUGUACUUGACAUGACAAGGCUCUUACAAAACGCCAUUACUUCUUGCUCUUCUUCCUCGAUCAGCAAAAACAAACCAAGCCAUCAUCCACAUGGAGCUAGGCAUCCUCUUCGUCUCCCUCAUCACACUGGUGAUCCUUGUGUCCUUACUCAGCCGCAAAUCUCCAACAGGCCGCUCCGAGAAGAAGAAGCGGCGGCCUCCAGGCCCAUGGCGUCUCCCCUUGAUCGGGAACCUCCUCCACCUCCUGACCUCGCAGCCGCAGGCCGCGCUACGGGACCUGGCCAGGAAGCACGGGCCGGUGAUGUCCCUGCGGCUGGGCCAGGUGGACGCCGUCGUGGUCUCCUCGCCGGCCGCGGCCCAGGAGGUGCUCCGGGACAAGGACCUCGCCUUCGCGUCCCGGCCCAGCCUGCUUGCCGCGGACAUCAUCCUCUACGGGAACAUGGACAUCGCCUUCGCCCCCUACGGCGCCUACUGGCGGACGCUGCGCAAGCUCUGCAUGGUCGAGCUCCUCAGCGCGCACAAGGUGCGGCAGCUCGCCCCUGUCCGGGACUGCGAGACCCUUUCGCUUGUUCGGAAGGUCGGCGGCCAUGGCGGCGGCGGCGGCGGAGAGCCGGUCAAUCUCGGACGGCUGCUCUCGUCGUGCUCGAUCGCGAUUACGGGGAAGGCGACCUUUGGGGAGCUGUUUGGCGGCGAGCUCCAGGAGCGGUACAUGGCGGUCAUCGAUGUCGCCACGAGGUACGGCGGGGGCUUCUCUGCCGGGGACCUGUUUCCUUCUCUGCGGUUCGUGGACGUCGCCACGGGGCUGACGCGCCGGCUGUGGCGAGCGCGCCGCCAGCUCGAUGCCAUAUUUGACAAGGUCAUCGCUGACUGCAAGGCACAGCGGGAGGAGAAGAAGAAGAUGAAGAAGACGGCCAUGGCGAAUACAGGGGACGAAGACCUUCUGAGUAUCUUGCUCAGGAACAAGGACGAAGCGACGCUCGAGACCUCCAUCAGCACGACAAGCAUCAAAGCAAUCUUAUUUGUAAGUUCUCUUUGUGCUCUCAAAUUAAACCAUGUCCUUAAUUGUUAAAUUUCUUUCGCUAAUUAAUUCUUGUUCACCGGUUAAUUAAUUAGGACAUGCUCACCGGAGGGACGGAGACGACCUCGACAGCGGCAGAGUGGAUCAUGUCGGAGCUCAUAAGAAACCCCGAGGCCAUGGCCAAAGCCCAGGCCGAGGUCCGGCAAGCACUGGACGGCACGAAGCCGCGAGACCACGAGGGCCACAUAGAAAAGCUCCGCUACACAAGGAUGGUGAUCAAGGAGGGCCUGAGGCUGCAUCCAGUGCUGCCGCUCCUCCUGCCGCGUCUCUGCCGGGAGACCUGCGAGGUCGGCGGCUACGAGGUCGCCAAGGGGACCAAGGUCAUCGUCAACGCGUGGGCCAUGGCGCGGAGCCCCGAGCACUGGCACGACGCGGAGGAGUUCAGGCCGGAGAGGUUCUGCUUCGACGACGACGACAAUGGCGGCACGACGGCGGAUUACAAAGGGUCGUUGCGGUUUGAGUACCUCCCGUUCGGGAGCGGGAGGCGGAUGUGUCCUGGGGAUACCUUCGGGCUCGCGGUGCUGGAGCUCACGGUGGCACGGCUUCUUUACUACUUUGACUGGAGUCUUCCAGGCGGAAUGCGGCCGGAUGAGCUCGACAUGGACAUGAUUGUUGGUUCCACGGCCAGGAGAAGGAAUCAUCUCUGCCUCGCAGCGUCCCAGUGCAGGGAGAUUCCCCUGGAAAUUUGAAGCUGCGCAGCUUAUGGAUGUAUGCUUCAUGUUCAAACUUACUUCAAUACUGUUCAACAAAUAAAUUUUAUUGGAAGAACGGCAUAUCAAGGUGCUCAUGCAAGGCAAGGAAAUGUACUCCUGAAUAAGAGUGAUGCUAUAUUUUUGAUUAAAUCUAAUCUAAUAUCUAAUUAAAGUAGCAGAAAUUCUACGGUCUAGAUUUUACAAAAGUUAUCAUACGGUCUAGAUUUAAUCAUAGGGUCUAUCAACCAAUCACAGUAGCUGCUACGGAAUCAAAUCAAUCUCGCUCUAAUCACGGUAUUUGCUAAGGAAACAAAAUCAAACUCGCUAUAGAAUUCCAAUCUGACUGCUGUCAAAACAAAUCACGGGAUAUCUGAACGAGGGCAAUCAAGGCCAAUCCAAUUGGAAAUCAAUUUGGUAAGCGCAAUAGUAAACUAAAAGAUGCAGUCGGUAAGGGCAGGACCAAUUGAAAAUCAAUUCGGCAAGGACAAUACGUACAGCCAAAUACAAGCAGAUCCAAUAAAUAAGAUCAGUAUGAAAUUUAAUCCGAGCCAGACCAGGAAAGAGCAGCACGACCGAAAAUAAAAAAAGUCAGACUAACAAAUACUCCACCGUACGACCCAAAACUUGAAGAGCAACUCGCCGGAUUCAAUCCACGCUAAAUUCCGAACACCUCGCCGGAAUUCUCGACGGAAUUCAAUCCACAGCGUCGGGAUUCUUAGCGGCUUGCUGGCGGCAGCAAGGGGACGCGGGAGCCUGGAGGGUGCUGCUGGUCGGUGGCGAGGGGAGAACCGAGGAGACGCGCCGUGGCAGGUAGAGAGGCGGGAGAGGCCCGGCAGCGGCCAAAGCGUGGGCACCGGCGGCACACGGUGGCGUCCGAAUCGUGAUGCCUGUCAGCCAGCAGCGAAGGGAAUUGGGAGGCGGCAACAAAGCGUAGGAAGGCGGACGGCGAGCGGCGGAGAAAGCGCUGGCACGCGGCCGGCGCACGAUGCUGCUCGAAUCGCAAUGGCGGACGUGGAGGCUGGCCCUGCAACGUCAGUGAUUAGGAGGAGAAUCACCAGGAGAUUAACAGGUGAUCGAAUCCAUGAAAAAUAAAUAAAUUUAAAUACAUCAAAGUGAGCAAAUUUAUGCAUAACUGACGUAUUUAAAUCUCUAUACCAAUUAAAAAAAUCAAUUAUGUACAUCAAAAUUGCAAGUGAUGCAAACUAUAAGUUUGAAACCAGCAGAAAAGACAGGCCAUCAACAACGAGUACGUUUGAUUUAAGCCCCAACUUGCCAUGUCAAAAUUUGUUUGACGUUUUAUUUGACUAUGUGUUAGCCAAUGUUGAAAAAGAAAAUUCGGACCUAACCCAAAAAAUUGGUAAGAUGCAUUUUAGACACCAUUCAAGGCUGAUGUGGAGGUGUUCGAUACAUGGUUUCAUGCUGCCAGCAAAUAGGAAUUCAAUAACUCAAAGGGGGCGCAGUUUUUUAAAUUAAACUACAUGGCUUACGGUAUAGUAAAGGCUAUGGCUGCGUUCUUUUCGGCUUCUAGGACGGCUUCUCCUAGAAGCUGCCCUCACCUAGCUUUCUAAAGAAACCGCAUCUCAGAUUUAGCUAGGUUUCCAAAGUAGUUUAGGCUAAACUAAUUUGGUAGUCUAAUCAAAUUUAGGUGGCGGUUUCUCCAGAAAGCUGGGGGAAGGCAGCUUCUUGGAGAAGCCGGUCCAGGAAGGCGAAAAGAACUGGCCCUAUGUGUCACAUAGAAAGGCAUGGCUACCAACAACAAUCGGCCUCCUUAGAUGCGUAGUCACCGAACACAUUCCUGCACCAACAAUCGUCGGUCGGAAGCACCACACUCGCAUUAAAAUUUUAAAAAGAAAAAGUUCAUCUAAAUAAAAAAGUACCCAAUCAAAUUUAAAUGUGACAAAAGCAUGCAUAUAUUAUCUGUAGAAUCACAACACUUCUUUUUAUUGCACACGAUGUUAAUAAAAUGAAACUCUCUUCCAAAACGUGUAAUGACUACGUGAUCUACAAUGUAUCAUGUUAUGAAUUUAAACUCAUCUAAGCAUUCAUAACUAUAUAUUUUGAUAGGUAAAACAUUAACAAAUAAAAUAUUUUAAAAAAUAUUGAAGAAUUCCAAAUACAAUACAUCUAAAUUAUAAAAGGCACACAAAAAACCAUCUCACUGUGUUCCAAAGAAACACACACAUCAUUAUACAAGUCUAGCCGCGCAAUCUGCGUGGGCCAACCCGCUAGUUUGUUGUAUUUGAUAUUAUCACGCGGCCCAUGGAAGAAAAGGUCGGUUGAAUUAAAGGGCUUCAUUGGCUACAUAUAUAUAAGUCUAAAUUGCGCAACAAGGUUGCUAAUGAUUGGGUUCAACGACUUGAUAUGUUAAAUGAACGAAAAAAAAUUAAACAAGUAGAUGAUAAACUUAUUGUUAAGCAAUUUCAAGCCAUGAGGUUUAGGAGAUGACAUUUGCCUAGGCCUAAUUAAGUAAUUUUAGCACAUCUGGGCAUGUCUGUCAUUGGUAUGUUUUAUUUUCUCCGUUCCAAUGUGCUGAUAUUUGCGAUGGAAAACGGACUAGUGUCUUAAUUUUUGCUAUUACAUCUUGCAUUUGUUUAUGUACAACUAUUGUUGUGAUCUAAUUGAGAUUGUUGUGGAUUUGUCUUUGUCAACAUGAGCGCUCUUCAAUUAACAUUUGUGUGACAUGUAGCUAAUUAAAUAUCCGUUACUUCAGUCUGUAUACUAUAAUUAUGUUCUUGAGCUUGUGGUGUGCCCAUGUUUUGACAAAGUGCUAGCUCCACCUCUGACUGGGAAAAUGUGGAUACCUCAAUAUGCAUUGCCACGUCCAUACCUUUUGUUUUAUUAAGGAAAAGAGGUUUUAUUACUUUCUCAGUCCAACAAAAGAUGUGUCAAAUUUGUCAAAAUUUAUAUGUUCUAGAGUUUAGACAUGACUUAGUGUAUAGAUGCAUUCAAAUUUGAUCAAAGUUAAGACAUUCUUUGUUGGACGGAGGGACGUUGACGACUAGGCAGAGUACUUCCAAUUCCAAUUCCAACCACUACACCGAGAAGAUUGACGACUGUCAACUUUCUUAUUACACCAUUCAAGCUACUACAGAAGUAAAACAAAACCGACUACACGAGUCGGCAUAGAAACAUCAACCCGCAUAAUACAAACAUGAAUGGCACGCGAAAGAACACUAUGAUGAUGGACCUUAAGUCGCGACAAUCCAUGAUUGAUCUAUUCCUAUGUAGUACCCGACUGUAUAUAUGGAAUAGCUCUUAGAUGCAGCUCCAACUUUUUCCUUACCCCCAUCCCGAAAGUCUCUGACAUGUCCAACAAGUCUGGGUUUGAUCCAUCAGCAAGCACCCAGUCAAAGUGGUAGAGGAGGUUUGCCAACGCAAUCUCCACGGCCGAUGUGCCAAACAAAAUCGCGGGGCAUUGUCGACGUCCUGCUCCGAAUGGUGUGAACUCAAAAUGUGUCCCUUUAUAAUCGGUGUUGCUAUUCUCAAACCUUUCGGGGUUAAAAGCUUCUGGAUUGUCCCAGUAUCUUGGAUCCCGAGAAAUUGCGAAGGCAUUAAUAUGAACCUUGGUGCCUUUAGGAACGUGAUAACCCAUGAUCUCGCAAUCCUCUCUGGACUCACGUGGGACAAGCAUAGGGUUGGGAGGAUGCAACCUGAGAACCUCCUUGAUAACCAUUUGCAGGUAGCUGAGUCCACCAAGGUCAGUGUUAGUGAUGACACCUCGUGAUGCGCCAAGCACAUUUCGGAGCUCUAGUUGUGCCUUCGCCAUUGCCUCGGGUUUCUUCAAGAGCUCCGAUAUAGCCCACUCUACGGUGGAUCCCAAUGUUGUAGUGGCACCUCCAAAUAUGUCCUGCAUGCAGGACCAAAUGUUUGUUAUGUAAGGUUUACUAAGUCUAACAAAAUUAGAUCGACAAAACAAUUAAAUAAGAAACUAUUCUUUUGAGAGAAACAUAUUAUUAGGUAGGGAAGAAAAACAUAUGUAUGGUUCUUUAUAGUUGGGCCAUGUGUCCAAUAGUCUCUCUUUUUUUUCCUUAAAAACGGGUCCUAUAAUGGAAGGUGGAAUAGUAGUAGUACGAUGCAGAGUGCAAGGUUCUAAAAUAAGGGAAUACUGUACUCACAAACAUGAUGGCGCCUAUAAUUUCCGUGGUCAGAGGGAAAGCGAGUGAAUCCUCCUCCUGCAGCCUGAGCAGCACGCCGAGCAGAUCCUCCUGAUCCCCGUUAGCAGCCAGCGCCGCCGCCUCACGACGGCUCUCCACGAUGCUGGCGAUGAUGCGCUGGAUGCGGCCGUAGCUCCUGAGCAGGCGGCGCUCGACAGUGCUCAGCCGCCUGACCAGCCUCGACGACGGGAAGAAGUCGAGCGGGAAGAACCCGGCCACGAGCUCGCUGACCCGGUCGUAGGCCAGGACGAACUCGGCCUUCCGGUCCGCGCACUUGCCGCCGAACAUCGCCAUGGCCACGAUGUCGUUCGCCAGCGCCGACGCCUUCCGGCUCAGGUUCACGGCCGAGCUACCAUUGGAGACGGAGACGUAGCGGAGGAGGCGGCCCACCUCGUCAGCUCUUAUGGACUCGACGCGCCUCACCUGCUUGGCGCUAAGCAGCUCCGUGACGCAGAUCUUCUUCAUCUGGCGCCAGCGGUCGCCGUAGGGGGCGAAGCCGAUCCCUUGGCCGCGGCAGCCCACGAUGUCGAUGGCGACGCUGCUGGGCCGGGAGGCGAAGGCCAGGUCGUGCGUCUUCAUCACGAGCUCGGCUGCCUCGGCGCUGGAGACCACCAGGGUGGGGACUUCGCCGAGACGGAGGAACAUCAGGGGCCCGUGGCGGCGGGAGAGGUCCCUCAUCGUGCGGUGUGGGAGGCCCCGCAGGACGUGGUGGAGGCUGCCGAGGAAGGGGAGCGUCCAUGGCCCCGGAGGCAGGGGCGGAAGAUGCUGCUGCUUCUUGGAUUUGGUAAAUUUGUUGUUGUUGUUGCAUGCGAGUUUAAGAAGCAAAAGGUAGAGUAGCGUUGCUAGGGUGAUGGAAACCCACAUGCUUAACACCUCCAUGGUUUUCAGCUGUUGGCAUGUACUAGAAGGUUAAUUAACUUCUUUGUGGGCUUUGAGUUUGAAUUAACGAUAGAAAGCAUACUUAUAGGGUAUCAAGAGGAGCCAUGAUCACCUCUCUUGAAAGGAAAAGGAGCCGUGCAUGGCCACCUGCCCACCUUGCACGUAUUAUAAGUUAUCUUAUUUGCAUGCGGUUGUUCUAGCAUGUCUGCAUGCAGCAGCAGCAGCAUUCGGAGCUGUACACGUGAAGAGUGUGAGAGGUUCAGUUUUUAGCCGGUUUGCAUGGAGUCCGGUUUGAGGGUCCUAUGUACGAUGACAUUUGCCAUCGGUUCACCAGUCUACUGCAGAACGGCCGGUGCUAUUGUGCUUGUGUCCAAAGCGGCCAUUCUAGUACCGGACUAGCUAGAUGCUGGGUUUAGUUGGAAAUUGACUGUGGAGAAGACAACAUAUGAGAUGGAGUUUCUCCAACCAGAUAGGUAUUUUGGGUCGAGUUAAGCUUCAGAUCUUAGUUGGUUGUGGGCUCUUGUGGACCUGGACUGGUAAAGGCGCUAGCUCAUGUGGUAGUUAGGCCAAACCCUUGUGCGCUCGAGCACUAGCCACCCAUGGCCGUCACAUUGAGAAGAGGCUCACUUCUUAAUCCACCCACACAUGAUGAUGAAUGAUAUAUUUUAUUAGUAUAUGGUACUUUCCCACAACCAAAUUUGUCGCAACUUGACUAGAUAAGCAUGUAUCUAAAGCGUUUCAAUGUGUUGAUACGCAUGGAAAAAAGUCAUACUAUAAUCAUACUAUAAUCAUUUUGUUAGGAUUGCUAACUUUCAUUGUUCAUGAAGACAAGAUAUAUAUGUUAGCCUGUACUUUGACUAGAUAUGCAUGUAUCUAAAGCAUUUCAAUUACAUGUAUCUAUACAUCUUUUAGGUAUAAAUACAUCUAUAUUUGUGCAAAUUUGAGUCACUUAAUAUGAAACGGAUGGAGUAUAUUGGUAGUAUCUCGCAUGUUUAGCCUGCAUUAUCUGCUUUAUACAUGCCAUGAUUUUGAAUUGAAUUUAUAUUCGAUCAGUAUGCAUGAUUUGUUCCUCCCUCUUCAGGUUGGUGCAGUGGGAAAAAUCAUAUUUUUUAAAGUUCAGGACUUUAGUGAGUUAGAAUUAUUGUUCCGGCAGCGCCGCGUGCCAAUUAGCACCAUUGUCCGCGAAUUGGGGCAGUUUGCUUUUGUGUGCGUGGGCAAGUCCUGAUUUGUGUUGUGCUGCGUGAUUCUUGCGUGAAUAUAAAACGCAUACGGUAGCAAGCCUGUCUCGGUUCAAAUAAUUAGAACCGUAUCUUGUCGGCGAUUUGGAGCAGUUGGCUUCACUCACUGAUGGGUCCCGAAAAUAAAAGAGUUUGCUACCGUGUCCAUUAUGUAUUUCUUUGCUACCGGCCGCUAAACAUACAAGGCAGUGGGCACCACAAAAUUUGAGAGACGGGAAUUGAAACACACGAGAUGUUGAGAUAUGUGUCGAAUACGUGUACGAGUAGUGUUACAGUUGGACUUGGAUUAGCGGAGGGUUAGGUGUUGGAGUCGAACACGUGUAACCCAGACCUAAUAUAUAAAGGCACCAUGGGUAGCCCAAAGAAACUAUGAGAACAUAAUAGCAGUAGGCUCGCAGGUGGAGCCGGCGGCUUUUGCCGGCGUCCGGGGUGGCUGAUGUUGCGGUAUUAUGGAGGGAGGAGCGCCCGUAGUCAUGCCCCGGGAUGUAGGUUUCGGCCGAACCUCGUUAACAAAUAUCGUGCCUCGGUGUCAUCCUUAAUUGUGCAUCCGUCGGAUUUCGUAACAAGUGAUAUCAGAGCGAGCUGGAGGGGAUGCGGGAGAUCUCGUGAGAGGUGCGAGGAUCAUGCUCGAUGGGCGCCGCAGAACGUCCAAUGCGGUGCAAGGUGGAGCAUGACGGCGAUCGGAAUUCCGAUCGGUGGAGUCGAACACUUCAGGUAUGUGGCCUGAACCGUUCGAUGGGCUGCAGUUGGCAAGGAUCGACCAGGCGUGAUGAUCGGGCCGACACAGUGCCCGGGAAGACGUCGCGGAUCGGACGACGGCUUCGGCUCGCGAUUAGAUCGGCGACCAGACGCAGGGGUGACCGAAUAGAUCGGGGCGGGAUGCAUCGCGGUAUAGCGGUGGAUCGGGUGUAGCACAGGGCGGCAUGGUGGCACGGUGGACGAGUUGUGUCGACGAUGCAGGUGGCCAGGGUGCAACACAGGUUUUGUGCAUAGAAUUUGCACAAGGGUGCGACUUUUACAAGUGUCAGUGGCAGCGUGUUCAUGCGACAAGUGACAUACGCCGGAAUUAACUCGUCGGGAGAUGCUGCAGCGGUUGGAUUGGAAGUCCGAGUCAAAAAGUCCAAGGCAUGUUCGUGCCAGGCGAUAAAACGGACAGCAGGCGAGCGUGGCGCAAUGGCAUGCAGAAAGGAGCAUUACUAGUCAGUGUGCAACCAGAAAAGAAGGAUUCGUGCACGUAUGUGCCAUGGGCCAUGGCUAGUUGGGCACGGUUUCCAACGGAAAAAGGAAAAGGAUUGCAUGCAGGCUGAAGGCUCACGUGGGAGUUCUUCUCGGAUUCAAAACAGAUCAAAGAAAGAAAAAAGAGCAGCUUUAGGCAGGCGGUGAAAGGCAAGCGCUAGCUUACAGGGCUGUUUCUAGCGGCAGGGGGGGCGAAGGUCGGAUUCAGGCGGCGCGGGGCGCGUGUGCAGGCGCCGGGGAGUCUGACGGGUUCCUGGUUUCCGCGUGCAGAUACCGAAUAGGCUUCGGCGGGCAGGCCGUGUAGGACACGAAUCAACAAGCAAGGGACGGGAUCACUCAGAAAAGCUAAUCCACGGCUAACAAACGCAGCUUUCAGCGAGGCGAAGGCAAGGGUACAGACCACGGAGAGCUAGCGGCAGGUUAGAGACAGAGUUCAAGUUCAUAUGUUGCACAGAUCAUAUUUUUUUCAAGCGCGGUGUUUCGCGGGAAGAAAAAAAGGACUGCGUACGGAGAUGAAGGGAUCUCAGGAGUUUCUCAAGUGAGCAGGCUAGUGAUGGUUUGUCGGAGCUUUGACAUGAUGUUGGGUGCAUGCAGUGUGGCUUCAGGUGACGAGAGACGGUGCGCGUAUAAGGCUAGGAGUAGCCUGGAGCGUGUCGUGAGGAUCAUGUAUCUACAAAGCGUCAAGCAAUACACUUGGUGUUGAGAUGACACGACGCAAGGUGGAGCACGGUUGCAGUCGGACAAGUUCGGCUGGGGUCAGACGACAGUCUGGCGGAUCGAUGGGGAUGUCGGUCGGAACAGAAGACGGUGAAGAUCGGCGACAACGACGUAGGAGCGCGAGUGCUGAUGGUGUCCGAAUUCUGUGGCGUGGCAACACGUGGCUCAGUGGGGCCUGAGAUGGUGUGGGUAUGCUACCCAGUAGAUCUUGGCCAAGAUUGCGGAUGCUCGACGCGGUGAUGCGGCGAGGUGUGCGAUAAGCACGGGACACGACAACAAACCAUGGCAUAUGUGGUCAGACAGUGGUUUGACAUGUGUGUAGGGGUGCUGAAGCGGUGUUGGUGAGUACUAGGUUCAAGUUGGUGACUGGGUCUAUCAGGAAGGUCUGAAGUGAUGGACAAGAGUCGGCCAUGGGAAAUCUGAGAAAGUGUUUUUGGAAAGUCUAAAUUGUCAAAGGCUUAGACAGUACAUGACGGUAUAUUCUGUGAUGUUCGGUGCACAUGGCAAAGUGCAAGUGACGGGAUGCAGAAGGGGGCGGAGUGCUAUAGCUGUGGGACAUGUAGAAGACUAUCCGAAAAAGGAUGAGAAAACUGUGAAUUUGACUCGAGGUGACUCAAGGGCGACGACGACAUUCCUUCAAGUUUCAUGCGGGAAGUCAACCAUAGCGAGGAUAAUGAGUUUAGGCAACUCUUAUGUGGCACCUAACAUGCGAGUUGUUCAUUUUCACAUAGAUCAAGGAAGAGGGAACCAGAGUGACGAUACAUCGGUGUUGUCGGAUAUGGUGACCUUAUGAUCGGUGUGUGAUGGCGUUGAAACAGAUACUCCGGGAAGUUGGGAACACACGACAAGAGUGUGGAAGAACUUAUUUUUCGCGGGAGCAUUGACUGUUAAUGAAUAAAAAGAAUUAAUGAAUAAAAAGAAGGAACUACGGUUGCAGGUGAAGUCAUGUGAUGUCAAGAAAGUAGCAGUGAAGCUCAUGUUUAAGUCCAAGGUACACGGAGGUUCGUGCAUGACGGCUUCAAGGUGGUGAGGAACAUAUUCGUCAAGGUGGAGUUUGUUGAGAUAUGUGUCGAAUAUGUGUACGAGUAGAGUUACAAUUGGACUUGGAUUAGCAGAGUGUUAGGUGUUGGAGUCGAACACGUGUAAGCCAGGCCUAAUAUAUAAAGGCAUCGUGGGGUAGCCCAAAGGAACUAUGACACCAUAAUAGCAAUAGGCUCGCAGGUGGAGCAGGCGGCUUGUGCCGGCGCCCAGGGUGGCCGGUGUUGCGGUAUUAUGGGGGGAGGAACGCCCGUAGUGAUGCCCCGGGGAUGUAGGCUUCGACCGAAAUUCAUUAACAAAUAUCGUGUCUCGGUGUCAUGUUUAAUCGUGCAUCCGCCGGAUUUCGUAACAAGAGAAACAUGAAAGAUGGCGGUGCGAAAAUCAGAACAUAGAAAAAUGCAAAUUUAGAGGAAAUGAAGCAAAAGGAGUUUCAAAAUAAUUGCUGUGAAUUCCGUCGUACAAAGAUUAGAAUUCUUUAGUUGGCUUAUUUUCUACUUGCAGCUGUGCAGUUCCAAACCUAUUUGAUCACCAUGGCAUAUAAAAAAAACUACUCUUAAGGGCAAAGAUGAACAGUCCCAACGGGUGGAUUGGUGUGUACUCACUCCGUUUCAUAAUUCUUGUAGAACUAUUACAUGUAUAUAGACAUCUUUUAGAAAUAGAAAUAUCCAUUUUUGGGCAAAUUUGAGACAAAAAUUAUGAAACGGAGGGAGUAUUUUUUUUAAGCAGGACAACAACGAGCAACCAUUUUAAUUAAUUAAAAAUAAAAGAAACGAGAUGAAGCUACCAUUUUAUAGGAAUAAGUGUCCGCGCGUGUUGUGAGCGUCUGCUUUUGUAUUGUGUUUCUAAAAAAAUGUAGCAGUUGGGGCAGAUGGGUGAGCUGAGAUUAGGGUUAGGGAGUGUGCCACAUAUGCGGACCAUAUAUAUUGGGUCUCUGUUGGACGAUGUGAUGGAUCAAUUUUUUUUUUGAAAAAGCAUCCUAGUAGGUAACUCCCUUCGAUGCAUAAUAAGUGUCGGGGAUUUAGUACAGAGUCAUACAACUUUGUACUAAAUCAUCAACAUUUAUUAUGGAUCGGAGGAAGUACUUGCUAAAAACCCAACCAUAUACAAGAAUUAAAAGGUUGUUUUACAGUUUUCUUAAAAAAACAGUCAGGACACCUAAACGGCUACUCCUUCCGAAAGCAACGACAAGUAUUUAUGAACGGAGGGAGUAGAAUACUAUUAUUAUGAAAGUCGGUUUGUUUUCAAUCAGUGACAGUGCCAAGAUCGAUUUCAAUCAUGUGAUGUCAUAUACAUGUGUUUUAUAUGCAUGUUGUACUUAUUUUUUUUCACGUUGAUUUCAACGUGUGCAUAAUUUAGUUUUGGCAAAAAGCAAUAUGGUCAGUUGAUGAUCAGAGAACUUAUACGUGGUUUCACCAUUGUUUUCCUUCAUCUCAGUUGUAUAUCCUCUUAGCCAGAUCCGCUAAACCGUCCGUAAUACUAAUAUAUCAUCUACGUCAGUUUGUUUUAUGAACGGAUCGGACUACAAAAUUCAACUAAGGUUUUUCAUAUAUCAUUCAGUAGUCAGAUUUUUUUAGUCAGGUCUAUCUGCUAAACCGACUCUGUAGGGGGCGGGCUUAUAGCUGUUGGAAUAGCUUAAGGGACUAAGACGAAGGGUCCAGAAUAUAUAUAUACCCUUUUCACUAACUCGAUCUUUCUCCAGAGAAAAAAAAAACACUAGUUAUUUUUCAGAAAAAAAAACUAUAUAUAGUCAUGUUACACAUUAGGUAUAAGCUAGUCAUAUACCUCCCUCUCGCAAAAAGAAGCUAUGAGUGAGUCAUACUCACCUAAAGCCACAUAUUAAAAGGGUUGCAUCCUUUCUAUGGGUAUACCGUGUCGAAUCGCUAUGAUCACAAUCCCAGGCGGAUCUCGAUGCAAUCAUGCAUGGUCUCAUCUCCGUGGACUUGUUUAUUAGUGAGGCGCAUGCAUGCAUGUGAUUCACAUGCAGUAUUGCAUGGGCUACCCGCUAUUACAACAAAGCUCUAGCUAAGCUAGCUAGUUGUUAGGUCGAUCGUCUGUAAGACUAUAAAUAGAUAUCCCCUGCAUGUAGUCCUAGAAACACAUCACUGCGCACCAGUGCUAAGCAACGACGUACUCCCUACUUUGUAAGUUGUAACUGCACGUAGCUAGCUGAUCGAACCAAAUCCAAAUGGCCCCAGGCAUGGCUGCUGCUGGUGUUGUGAACGGCCAGGAGACGAUGAUCCAAGCCGAUAACAAGAGCAGAACUGUGGUCGCCGCCGGUGAAGCCGUCGUCGUUACUUGCGACAAGUUUGCGCCCUCCGUGUGGGGAGACUUCUUCGUCACCUACAUCCCUCCUGCUACUAUCUCACAGGCAUGCAUGGAUACACGUACUAUUAUGUGCGCACACAUUUAAUUUAAUUUACUCAACUGAAUUUACUGCUGGUUGUCUCUUCAAUUUAGGGUUUAUACUUCCUCUGUUUCAAAUUCUUGUCAUUGUUUUAAUGCAAAUUUGAACUAAAAUCACGACAAAAAAAUUAGUAAGGGAGGGAGUAGAAUGCAAGAAUAAAGAGAAUUUCGUGAUGUUGCAUAGCUAGGCUUUCAGAAACCUGACACCGUGCUCAACAUGCAUGCAUGACGCGAAAUCACGUACUGCACGUCCAAAUAAAUCGGCGCCAACUAAAUUAUGUACUCCGUCCGAUUCAUAAUAAGUGUCUUAGUUUUAUUACAAGACACUUAUUAUGGAUUGGAGGGAGUUCGAAAUACCUGAAACUGGUUUAAAACUCACAAGAUAUAUACUUAAAAAAGGCUAACUUUGGUCGUGAUCGUCUCCAUGGAUGCAGAGAUCGGAGGAGUGGAUGAGGGAACGGGCGGAGCAGCUCAAGGGGAAACUACGGCAGGUGUUCGAGGCGAGCAAGGAGGCCAUGACCGUAGCCGACGCGCUAACAUAUGUGGACACGCUCGAACGCCUGGGCUUAGACAACCACUUCCCCGAGGAGAUUGGAGCGGCAUUAAGCCGCGUCCGGACGGAAUCUGACGACGGCUCGGCUGACAGCCUACACUUCGUCGCCCUUCGGUUCCGCCUGCUUCGGCAGCAUGGCUUCUGGGUAUCUGCAGGUAAAUUCAUCUACUGCACGGUGUUAUCUUAGCUAAUCCAUAACGACCCUUUCAAAUGCAAAGCGGAAGAAAACGUGGAAUGUUGGUUAAUUACUUUGAACACCAGCAUUGUGCACGCUUUACAUGUGUUCUGAAUCGACGUGCAUGCAGAUGUAUUCGACAGAUUCAGAGACGACCAAGGCAGCUUCAGCAAGAGCCUCAGCAGUGACCCGAGGGGCCUGCUGAGCUUGUACAACGCGGCUCACAUGGCGGCGCCAGGCGAGGUGGCCCUCGACGACGCCAUCGCCUUCGCAAAGGGUCACCUGAUCGAGGCCAUCAAAGAAGGCAAGCUGGUUAGGUCCCCAAUAUUAGCCGAGCAGAUCUCCCGGGCCCUCGACAUUGCGCUCCCACGGUUCACUCGGCGGCUUGAGACCAUGCACUACAUUGGCGAGUAUGAGCAGGAGGCGGCGGCACACGACGACACGUUGCUCGAGCUUGCUAGGCUCAACUUUAAUCUCGUCAGAUCCCUUCACCUCAAGGAGCUCAAGGCACUCUGUUUGUAAGUCUUUUCUUCUCACAAGGAAAAAAGUUAGAAUAAAAUAGAUAAGCUGCUCUGGCAACAAAAACAAUGAUCAAUCAGCAGCAGGUACACCAACCAAUGAUGCAUAUGGAGUGUGCCUGCCAUACAAGAAACAUGGAUAGAAUUAACUUUUGUUGAACCAGAUGACGUGUGCGGCCGUGCAGAGGAGAUCACAUAUAAUACACAGCUUGUCUCACAAACAUCAUCCUUAAUCAGCUCAUCUUAAAAAAAAACACCAUCCUCAUUUUAUUAAUGAGAGAUUGUGUUAAGAGUAAACACGCAACUUUGACAUGUUAAGAGUAAAUUAAUUAGCGAUUUUGGCAUGCAGAUGGUGGAGGGACCUAUACGACACCGUGAAGCUACCGUACGCUCGGGACCGGAUGGUGGAGAUCUACUUUUGGACCUGCGGGAUGCUCCAUGAGGAGGAGUACUCCACCGCGCGGAUGCUCUUCGCCAAGACGUUUGGAAUGGUGUCUCUUCUGGACGACACUUUUGAUGUCCAUGCCACUCUGGAGGAGUGCCACAAGCUCAAUCAAGCUAUGCAGAGGUAGGCUAACGAGUUCCCUGCCUCAAUAUAUGACCAUCCUCUGUUUCUCUCUGCAUCUUGAUCUAGACCUGCCUUUUUUCGUCGAGAUCACUAUAAAUAAUGAAGGUAUCUUAACACUUAACUUACUUGUAUGUGCGUAGGUGGGAAGAAAGUGAGGUUUCUAUUCUACCGGAGUAUCUUCACAUGUUGUACAUCAAAACGCUUAGCAACUUCAAGGAGUUCGAGGACGCUUUGGAACCUAGCCACAAGUACCGCAUGUCUUACGCCAAAAAAGCGGUAUGGUGCACUACAUUAUUAAGAUGCAUAUUCGAUCGUUCAACCACAAGCAGCACACGCCUAUAGUUAUAUAGUUAUGGCGUGUAAUAUGUUUUUAAACAAUUUUGCAGUACAAGCUGUCAUCUGAAUAUUACCUCCGCGAGGCCAUCCUGUCGAGCGAGAGAUACCGGCCGAGCUUCAAGGAACACGAGGAGAUAUCCAUCAUGACGUCAGGCCUGCCGAUGCUUACCCUGGUGACUCUGAUGGGCUAUGGCGACGUGGCAACCCGAGAGGUGUUUGAGUGGGUAAGCCACGUUCCUGAAAUGGUCCGUGCUGGUUCCCAGGUCACCCGCUUCCUCAACGACAUCUCUUCCUACAGGGUACUCCAUCCCAUUCUAAAUUCUUGACUCAAAUUUGUCUAAAUAUGUAUGUAUCUAUUCUUAAAAAGUGUCUAGAUACAUGUAAUAUUUCGACAACAAUUUAAGAUCGGAGGGAGUAUAUACUCAUAGACGCAUACGUACUUACAUGUAUAUGCCAGUUCAUAAAUAAAGUACAUUCAUGAUAUGUCUGCAGCUGGGAAAGCACAAGAAGGAUAUGCCUAGCGCGGUGGAGUGCUACAUGAUGGAGGAGGGGUCGACAGGGGACGAGGCUGUGGAGGCGGUUGCGGCGCUCCUGGAGAACAGGUGGAGGGUGUUGAACCAGGUGAACAUGGAGAUCGACCGCACGCUCUCGCCGGCGGCGCAGGUGGUGGUGAACAUGGCGAGGACCAAUGAGAUCAUCUACCUCAAGGGCAGGGAUGCCUACACCUUCGGUGGCGAUCUCCAGGACCUCGUCACCACGCUAUUCCUUAAGCCGGUUCCCCUUUAGGAUGCGAUCGAUACUGUGUAGUAUGACUUAGAGCUACACAUUCACUGUCCAUGUAAUAAGCCUACUCAGCACCUAUGCAUAAUGGCAACAGCCUCAGCCUAGAUCGACAAAAUAAACAUACCUCGCCCAUGCUGGUACCCUAAAUAUGUUCAGAUCUAGAUGCAUUUGCAGUGCCAUUUAUUUCAUCUCUUGUAUUUGUAAGCAACGCAUGUAAUAAGUCGUAUAACCGUAAUGUAUCGUUUUGCCGAUUUUGAACUUUGCUCGCAGUUAGAGUGUGAUUUUUUUUGAGAAACACAGUACAAACGCAGACGCUCACAACGUGCGUACACUCACCCCUAUGAACACGAGUACGUCACCUAUCAAUGAAAGAAUAGUGCCGGUUAAAUCUUGAAUUAAUCUAAGAAAAUGUGACACUCAUGUCAAGUCUAGAACUUGAACCUGUGUGGGAUAAUUCCACCACCAGGAACCAGACCACCUGAGCUCUCAGUUCACAGUUAGAGUGUGAUGUGCACUGUAUUUGCGGCACGGGUGUUUCUCUUUUUUUUUUUUGAGCGAAACCAGUGUUUCUCUUGAUCCCUCAAAACAUUUGUGGGCUGAAACAGUCAUCCAAGCAGUUUGUUAAAGGCCGGACCUAAUAUUUUUUUUUUGAGGGAGGCCCCCUUAAAAUAACUGGACCAAAUAUAUUUCCAGAGCUGUAAGUUACAGCUAGAUCGGGCCAAUUCCGGCCAUCCAAGCUGGGCCUUGCGUAAGCUGGCCCCUUAAAAAACAAAAGAGAGGGACACCGGUUCGCUAGUAUCUGCAGAGUGCAGACUCGGGUCAGACCUAAAACCCAAACCGAUGCCGUUGCGGCCCUCCGACCGCCCAACCCGGCAAAACCCAGACCGCCAUGCUAGGGCCGCCGGAGAAGGUGGACAUGGAGGUGGAGCCGGCGGAGGCUGCGGCUGCGCUCGUGGCCUUGGCGUCGGAGCCCUCUCCGUCGCAGCUCGGUGAGCACAACCCCUGUGUGCAUACGUCGCGUGGGUGCUACUGAUUGUUUGAUUCUCGAGGGGAUGGGAUUUGUUAAGAUUGUUGAAGAUUUCUGUUCAACUCGGGGACUCUUUGGAGCACCAGCUCCUUCUUACUUCAGCUUCCAUUGGUUAAUUUCCCCAAUUUUUAGCUUCGGUAACUAUGAACUAUAUGCUCACGUUGAACGUCCAGACCUAGGAAUGGUGUGAAUUUUGGGGCCAAACCUGUUUGUAGGUAGUGCCUGCCAGGCUCUUCACUUGGUGACCUUGCACUAUUUUGUUCCUUUUGGUUGCUAACUUAUCCUGUUUAAAAAUCUCAGAGAACCUUGAGGGGCGCAGUUGCUUGUGUGUUAACCUCAGCAUUUUCUGCCCAAUAUUUGGAUUUUGGGUUAUCUUAAUGAGCCUAGUUCACCCUGUGGCAGGUCUACGUUUUUUUUGUUCUUUUUCGUUAUAUAUUGGAUGUUGAUUUGAGUCAUAUAAGGUGAUUCGAGAAAGGAGGUUGGGUCGAUGGUUAGGUUAUUGGUGUGAUAAUAUUAACUAGAUACAUAUACUAUUACUAAGUACCUUUGGUUAGGUUAUUGUGCUAGUAUUUCUGUGAUCUGAAUUGUGGGGACCUCUCCUUUUGCUGUUUCAGUAGUUGUUGGUGGAUUUGCAUCUCAAGAAUUUCCCAGGACAUGACUUAUUCUUUCAUUCUACACCAGAUGUUUUCAAGAACAGAAUUCAUUUAUUGCGUGAUGGAAACACGAGUGAUUUUGAUGCUUGGGUAUCUUUAAUAGGUUCUGUGGAGGAAACUAAUGCUGUAAGUGAAGUCUUUUUCUUUCUGGCUUCAAUUUGUAUUUGGCAGUUUAGUACUGUCUCUCUAUGUCCUAUUCGCUAUCUCAUAACUGAAUAAAACUAACUGGAAGAACGCAUGGUUUCUUACAAUGCUUUUGAUUCUGGGCUAAUGUAUGUUAAGCAGCACCUGGUUGCUGAUGUUUUCAUUCUUUCAGAAUGACAUAGAGGUUAUUAGCUUGGUCUACCGUAGCUUCUUACUGGAAUUUCCUUUGUGCCACGGCUACUGGAUCAAAUAUGCAGCUCACAAAGCACGGUUAUGCACAUAUGAAGAUGUGGUGGAUGUUUAUGAACAAGCCGUCCAAGCAGUUCCUCACUCUGUCGAUAUUUGGGUCAGUUACUGUGGAUUUGGUAUGAGUGUGCAUGAAGACCCUGCUCUUGUUAGAAGGUAAAGGAGACAUAAAAGUAACCUGCACUUCGAGGAUAUAUAUUUUUCUUUAGAUCUUGAAGAAAAAACAUCUGAUUCUUCGUACAAACAAUUUAUUUCCUUGUAUUCACUUGAAUUUUUUGACGAUCUCAGAGUAUAUAUAGGUUUUAAGUUGAUAGCAAUUGAUCAAGUACUAGAACUUCGAUCUGUCACAUUUUCCAAAUAAGCAUCACACUUAUCAUAUAUCAAUUAGAGAACUCUUAUGCCUGAGUACGAGCAUUGCAGAAGUUAAGAAUCAGGGAAAAGAAACAGACUGGGACUAUCUACCCUUAUUAAAAUAGAUACUCGAAUCACUUAUCUCUUCUCUCCCUCCCUCUCUCUCUGAUUGGUUGAAGGUUAAAUUGCACAUAUUGUAGGCUUGAUUUUUGUGGUUGGACUUGGAGAUACAUUAAGAAGCAAUGUUACCCGAUAAAAUUGACAUAUGGUGUCCAAUGGAAAGGGUAUACUGUAAUGACUAAGAAUGUAAUACCGAUAUUUGUGGCAUCAAGUUAUAGACACACAAUAUGAUGAUAUACAUCCUUUAAUCUGCUGGAUACCCCUUGAUCCUUCUUUUAUCAUGUUGCUGCUCUCCAUCAAUUUUUUUUAUGGAUUUUGUGACAGGUUAUUUGAGAGGGCCAUGUCUCUUGUUUCAAGGGAUUACUUGUGUUAUCACCUUUGGGAUAAGUACAUAGAAUUUGAGAAUUCGCAGAAGCAGCUGAUUCAGCUUGCUACAAUUUAUAUUAACAUGUUGAAAUAUCCCACAAAGAAGCUGCACAAGUAUUACGGAAGGUAUAUCAUAGUCUCUUCCUUGCAUGACUUUGAAGAUAUCACAUUUAUUUAACAUGGCAUCAUGCAAUGGUAGUGUACAACCUCCGAAGACCUUCUCUCGUGAUACAUAGCAAGUAAAAAAUUAUGGCACACCAAUUAGGCUUGCUCUCUCUAUAAGUAUUAUUAGGCUACUUUUUCCUCGUUCUCCCCAUGGUCCACUACUUUUUUCAUUGCCAUUGAUUCCAAUCUUAUGCCUGAUGGGAUGUUUGCUUGUUGAAUUCUAACAUGACUGACCGUGUAAAUCAUGUAACCCUCAAUCAGUUGCUGAGCAUGUCAAGCGAGUAUGUGUUGCUCCUCCAGAGGUUAGAUUUAUCGAGCAACUUGGCUCUUUUGGGAAACAUAGCUCCAGUGUCACAAGAGAACUAUCAUUUUUGCUUUUGCAUCGCUCUAGAUAUUUUGGUUCAUUGGAUUUUGUAAAUUUAUUGCAGGUUUUGGUAGCAUCUUGCUUGUUUUAGUUUUCGAGGAAAAACUAGCUUUAUCAGGGUUUACCAAUUUUGCUAAUAUCAGGCAAGGAUGCGUAAUUAGGCUACUUCAACCCAUAAUUUUUAAGAAAAUAGCAUAUAUCUUACCUUGCCAGUAAGGUUAGACAACAGUUGCGAGGAUGGUCAAGGGAUCAAUUAGACUAGUUCUGUAGUUCAACUUCAGAAGCUACCUGUUGAAGACCAUAGGAAAGGUUAUGUUGUCUUACUGCUAAGUAAGGUUACCCAUUACCAGAAAGCUGCUAGGAUUUAAGAGAUUCAGACAUACUCUUUUUUGAAGGAAGAAUUGUUUAGGACCGCUAUGAAACAUAGAUGAUAGAGCUACCCAUGCAACAAAAUUCCUAAUUUAUAACACUAGCCAUCAACUCGUUCAUCUGCACAGAAGUUCAACUAACAACUUUUCAAUUAUCUGUUUGUGAAUUUUAAUUUUGAAAAAUCUAUCUUAUCUAUCCAGAGACUCUUAAGGAAAUUGAUAUGUUAAUAUGAGAAAAUAUAAUUUGGCGAUAUCUAGUGCGAGAGUGCGACCAGGUUAUGAUGGUUCAGGUUUGUACGUCAGGUAAUGAAACAUUCCAUUUAAAACUGUCCAAUGCCUACCGUGGAUUAUAAAACUACAUGAACUUCUAGAUUCAUUUUUGAAGUAAAAUUGCAAGAGAAGCCCGGCAGUAUAAAUAGGAACCCAAAUUCGUGUCCACGAGGACUUGGACCCAAGUAGUUGGAUUGUACAUCCACUCUCCCAACCAUGUGAGCUACAGUCACUUCCUCUUUUAGAUUCAUUGGUGUAAAGUGCAGAUGAUACUCUUGCAAAAAAGAACUUUGGACGUGUAAGGGACACAAUAUUAGUUCAGGCAUGGACAUGUUCUGCGUUGUACUUCGAUUCCAUAUAAGUCAGUUAGAGAAAGUAAGUCUAACGUGAUUUGAUCUGGUACAUGAGGUGAGUCUAAGAUCAGUCUAACAUGUAAUAGGAUUAAAUCUGGUUCGGCGAGAGACACAUCAGUGGUUUAUUCUAUCAUAUGCUGAUCUGAGCCUUAUAACUUGGUCCUACUGAAUCGAUGACAGAUAUAUUUUCUUUUACUCUGAUUAGCCUGGGUUAAUCUGGGUUGUUAUAGCUUGGUCCUACCAGGACAGUGACUUUCUUUUUCUUUUUUUCUCCGAUUAUUGUGGGAACAUCUAUGCAUUCUGUGGUCAGUACAGUGAUAGAUAUGUAGAGUUUUACUUGCUGUUUUUUUUUCCUUUUCGUUGCCAGUUUUAAGAAGUUGGUAACAUCAUUGGAGCAAGAGUUUACAAACUGCGGUGCUGAAAUAUCAUCAGAAAAUCUACAUACUUCUGAAGUGAUGGAAGCUGAGGAAUCUGAACGGGAUAUCUCGAUUAAAAUUGCUGGCUUAUUUGACGGAGGUGGGCAUCUUAAGGCCGAAUCAUUGAGGCAGUACUUAUUAACUGGGGACCGUCUAUACCAAAGGUCCAGUAAAAUUGAUGAAGAAAUAUGUGGCUUUGAGGCAUCCAUUAGAAGGCCUUUUUUUCAUGUCAAGCCACUUGAUGAUGACCAACUUGAGAACUGGAACCUGUAUCUUGACUUUGUUGAGAAGAAUGGCGAUUUUGACUGGGUAUUUUUUUUUUGUCAUGAAACUGUUUUCCCUGUGCAUCAGGGUAGUUACAUUUUCUUUGCUAACAUCUGAUCACAUCUCGCAUCUUCGCCUCCUAUUUACAGGCUGUAAAACUUUAUGAGAGGUGCUUGAUCCCUUGUGCUAAUUAUUCGGAGUUUUGGAUUCGCUACGCUGAAUAUGUGGAUGCCAAAGGUGGCCGAGAGAUUGCAAACUAUGCUCUUGGUCGAGCAUCGUCGUGUUUUGUGAAGGUAUUGCUUGGCAAACUAUUUGUUUUGCUACAUGUAUUGUUACUCCCUCUGUUCCUAAUUAAUUGGCGUCGGAAAUUUUGCAAAAAAAACCUUGCUAUUUCUCGAAAUCGACCUGCAGUCCACGUUCUACCAGAAAUUUUGCAAAAAAACCCCUGUAGUUUUUUGCAAUCAACGCACAGUCCACGUUCAAUUGAAGAUGUGUACUGCAGCUUGAUUUCAUAAAUUAAUAGGAUUUUUUGCAAAAUGACCGGCGCCAAUUAAUUGGGAACGGAGGGAGUAGUAUUUAAAGCUUUUUGGAAGGACCUUACAUGCUUCUGUACUAGACCUGCUGUGCCAAGUACAUCAGAAGAAGGCGGAACCGCUUGUGUUUCAUCUACCAGGCCUCAGGAUUAAUUUCCUCUAUUCUGCCAUUUCUAAAAUCGUCAAAAGAUAGCCUGUUAAUUGUUUUGAGCAAAAAGCCUGUGAAUUUCAGAAUAAGAACCUAAAGUUUACAGAACAGCUGCAGCCUACAUCAGAAAAGAAGGUCUGACAAUGCUGAAUGAUAGCGCUGUUGAUUUAUCCAGUCUUGAAGUUCAUUAUUCCCUCCUGCAGCAUUUCCUUUGCUUUGCGACGUGGACAUUCACGGUUCAGCACUUAUUCGAUUGCUCAGUAACAAUUAUGCUUUUUCGUAUUUGUUCGUAUAUGAACUAGUUUAUUUCCUUUUGCUUAAUCUCAAUGAUAAUACAUCUCCCUUUAUAUACAAAUCGCACCUAUCUAUUCAAUCUGAACUUUCCAUCUGAAGAUGAUAUUACUUCCCAUCUACCAAAGAUAAUGUUCUAGGUUAUCUUGCUAGCCAAGAUAACUAAUUAUCCUUGGGUGUACUCACUUAGCCCCAGUAUGGCACCUGCUGCUACC
Molecule: long non-coding RNA, 54347 nt
Filed under: Brachypodium distachyon (stiff brome)
Lineage: Eukaryota; Viridiplantae; Streptophyta; Magnoliopsida; Poales; Poaceae
Description: long non-coding RNA (BDIS_LNC003653)
Source: RNAcentral